AUAGGCAUUGGAGAGCCAUGAUGUAUUUGGAAAAGAACAUGUAAUUACAUUUUGGAAGAUGAAAAUGUAAUGUAACCAAAUGAUGUAAAAAAGUUGAAUGGUUGUUGUUGAACCAAUACGGCGCAGACAGUUGGCACACCGAGUCCAUAUAUCGCUGGAUCGGGAGCACGGAAAACGCGCCAGGGGAUAUGAGCUGUGAUUAUUUGAAAAAUGAUAACCGUAAGCAGUUAUGGGCAGUUCCCAAUGGCAGUUCCAAUCGGCCGAACGUGGCCUUCCAAUCCGGAGAAGAUGGCCGAUCGUGCAAUAACUGAACACAAGGGGAAAAUAUAUAAAUAGGCCUGUAGUACCCUAAAAAGGGGUCUUNGGAGAGCCAUGAUGUAUUUGGAAAAGAACAUGUAAUUACAUUUUGGAAGAUGAAAAUGUAAUGUAACCAAAUGAUGUAAAAAAGUUGAAUGGUUGUAAUAGCUAGAUAUUUUUCUCUUUAUACACUUGUAUUUUACUUGUGAACGUUGACAUCGAUUCAUUCCAACAUUACACUCUCGGGGCUUAAUAGAACAAUAUAAUUAGGUUUUACUCUUUGUUCGAUUGAAUGAGAAAAAGUACUCGUUGCAAAGUUAUACUGUUAGGACAGAACUGAGUAGUCUAAUGUUGUUCCGGUUUUGGUUCUUGUGAACGUUGACAUCGAUUCGUUCUAAAUUUAUUCUCUUGGGGCAUAAUAGAACAAUAUAAUUAGCUUUUACUCUUUGUUCGAUAGAAUGAGAGAAAGUACUCGUUGCAAAUUUAUACUGUUAGGGCGCAAGUUAGUAGUCUAAUGUUGUUCCGGUUUUGGUUCUUGUGAACGUUGACAUCGAUUCAUUCCAAAUUUACACUCUCGGGGCAUAAUAGAAUAAUAUAAUUAGCUUUUACUCUUUGUUUCAGAUUGGAAAUCAUGUGCUCUUGAAAGUCUCGCCGACUCGAGGGAUUAGAAGAUUUGGAAUCCGGGGCAAGUUGAGCCCCCGAUUCAUUGGAUCAUAUGAGAUUUUGAAACGUGUAGGCCCGGUGGCAUACCGACUUGCUCUACCACCGAACCUAUCGGAUGUACACAACGUCUUUCAUGUAUCAAUCCUUCGGAAGUACAUUCAUGAUUCGGCUCAUGUGCUUAAUGCGAUGCCUUUGGAGCUGAGGGAGGAUUUGAGUUUCGAGGAGCAGCCUGUGAGGAUCUUAGCUUGUGAGGUGAAGAUGCUGCGAAACCGCGAGAUCCCCUACAUGAAGGUUCUUCGGAUCAAAUUUAAAUUUUAAUGUAAAAUAGAUGGAUAGAGCAUAUUGAUAUUCUGGCAAAAAUUUGGAUAAGUAUGAAUUUAUUUCUAUUCUAGAGAUAAAAAAAAAUUAAACAAAUUUUGAAUUAAAAUAUAGAUUCACAAUAGAUAUCUUUCGGUUGGCAAAAUUUGAAUAAGUAUAUAUAUUUUUUUAUUUUAGAGGUAAAGAUGAAUUAAAAGUUUGUUUUAUUAUGUUAUUUAUUUUAUGUAAGGAAAGAGGAAUCAAAUUUUUUCCCCUAAAAAUGGGUCUGCUGACAUAUCGAAAUUUGAAAUACGUGCUAGAUAGUAUAGAUAUUAUAUUACAGUUAGAGAUAAAAAGAAUUAAAUAAAAAUUUAUAGUAGAUAUUUUCAGAUUGGUAAAAAUUUGGAUAAGCAUAAAUUUUUUUCUGUUGUAGAAAUAAAGAGGAAAUAAAAGUUUGUUUAAUUCUAUUAUUUAUUUUACGAAAUACAUGCUUUUAUAUAUAGUAUAGAUAUAGAUAGGGGUGGCAAUCCAGCUCGCUGUUCGUGAGUCAGCUCGUGUUCGGCUCGAAAUGAGCUCGAGAUCGGCUCGCUCGUUUAGUAAAUGAGCCGAACACAAGCUAGAUUUUUCAGCUCGUUUAAUAAACGAGAACACGAGCUGGGGUCAGCUCGCUCGUGUUCGGCUCGAUAACAGCUCGAAUGCAUAUAUUUUAUAUUUAUAUACUUUAUUUAAUUUAUAUUUUAUAUAUAAAUAAAUAAUUUUAUUAAUAUAUAUUUUUUAUUAUUUAUUUGUUAGUAAAUAAACAUAUAAAUGCGAGCUAAUUAUAAAAAACUUAUUUAUAUGUCAAAGUUUCAAAUAUUAGAUCAAAGUCUAAUAGAUAAGAAUUAAUAACAUUUAUUUUUAUAUAUAUUUUCUAAUCUAAUUAUUUUAAUUUAUGGUUGUGUGGCCAGCUCGUGAGCCAACUCGUGUUUGGCUAUUAAUAAAACGAGCGGAACACGAGGCUGAAUUUUCGGCUCUCCCGGUACUUUAACGACCAGCUCUGUUCGGGUCGUUUACAUAAACGAGCGAACCACGAUGGACCCCGGCUCUCGGUUCGUGUUCGCGCAUCGUUUACACCUCUAGAUAUAGAUAGUAUAAAUAUAGAUAAUAAUAAUAAUAAUAAAAUAAUAAAUUAAGAUUCGAGUCGGGUUCAGAUCGAAUAAAAUACAAAAUUCAUAGCCCUAUCCACAUUUAUUAGAUUUUUCAGUUCGGAUUCCCAUCGAUCCUUCGAGACACCCGUACUCCCCUGCAGCUCCUCCCUCCCGAUCUCCUCCUUUCCCUUGUUCUCGAUCACCCAAGCCCUCGUCCUUACGAUCCCCAUGGACGGCGAGGGGGGCAGCGGCGGCGGAACCCUUUCGGAGAUCUACCAGAGCGCACGUCGCCUCCUCCUGCGCGCGAGGGAUGGGCUCGAGAGGCUCGAACGGCUCGAAUCCUCCUCCUUCUCCUCCUCCUCAUCGUCGCCCUCGCUCGGGGUCGGCGCCGAUUCGCCCGAGCUCGCCUUCGCCAUCAAGAGGGAUAUCGCCCAGAUCCGGUCACGCUGCGCCGAGAUGGAUCACCUCUGGCGAUCCGUCGCUGCCAAGGGCCAGCGGGAUCUCUGGAAGAGGUAACUGAUCUGGAAACCCUAGCCAUUUCAAACUUGAUUAGGUUUUGCUGCUAUGCUAUGCUAUGCUAUGCUAUUCAGUGGGUUGAUCUGGAGAUUUAUUUAUUUUUAUUUUUAAUUUAUUUUUUAAAUAAGGCAGAAUUGAAUUGAUGGGAAAUUAGGGGAUCGGGGGAAUGUUAUUAUGAUUUGAAGAAUGGUUUGCUCAUGAUUUGGUUUGAUCUCAAGAUCAGCGUUCUCACGAUUAUUAUCUAAUAAAUGUGCGUUUGCUGGUAACUCACCUCGUUCCUUCUUUCUUCGCCUAUGCUUAUUCCGUGUCGUAUAUCGAUUUUGUGUAGUUGUUGGCUCUUGAUUGUGAGGAAUGAGCCUGCGUCGAGCUGACGAAUUUGCUGGGAUCAAUUUCUCAAAUGUGGGUAAAAGAUGCAACCCGCCGAGAUAUUGCUGCUACAUAUUUUAUCCCUUUUUGUCCUUGUUAAUUUCAGUUGGUUUUCUUUCAUUAAUUCAAUUUGAAAUUUUUAUCCCAAUCAAACUAAAUUGGUGGGUAUCAGUAGUUGAAGAGAUUGUUGUCUCUGAUAUUUUUAUUAGUUAUGUUGCUUAUACAAGAGCCUAAUUUUAGACUCUCUCAUCUAAAAUAAUAGGAAUAAGAGAUUUUCUUCAUAUCUCAAAGUCAUUCUUAAAUAAAAAGAGUGAGAGAAUAUAAGAAGAAGAAUCUGUAUUUUAUAUUUCAAAAUAGGAAGUAGCAAAACUGAUAGAAGAAUCAAUUAGCAUAAAAAAUCUAGCCAACAGAAUAUGGGAUUAGAAAAAGAAUCAGCUUAAAAAUAUCCAGAGAAGAUAGAAAAAAACUUAAGUGAUGAAAAUGCACCAAUAAAAGAGGCAACAGUCAACUCAAAUCAAAGGAAAGCCUAAAUUUAAGUUCUAUAAUGUACUGAAAUAAAUUUUAAACUCGUAUUUUAGAGUUAGGAAAUCUGCAGUAAUUGGAGUAGAUGAAGAAAGUACGCUAAUCUUUAGGAGUAGCAAAAUUUGGAGAACAUCUAAAAUAAAAAGAAUAAAAGGAAUAAGAGAAUAUAAGAAGAAAAAGCAUCAACAUUUUACAUAUGAAAAAGGGAAAUAGUAGAACUAAGUAGUAGAGCUGAUAGAGGAAUUAGUCAGUAUGAAAUAUAGUCAACAAAAUAUGUAAUUAGAAAAAGAACCUUCUACAAUCUAGAGAAGAGACAAAAGACUAAGUGAUGAAGAUACACCAAUAGAAGAAGAAGCAACCAACUUAAAUCAAAGGGAACCCUUCCAAAAUUGGAAAUAACUAAUAUAUUGGUUCUUUUUUCUACAAAGGAUUUUCUUUAAAAAAUAUCUUUUCUUUCUUCAUUUUUGCCCACCUUACUUGUCACGUCCCGAGACCGCCAAUUUGGUCGGAUUGGUCCUGCACACAGACGCCAAACGAACAGAACCUCCUCUGUUCGCCUAAGGCUCAGCAACAACAACUAAACAUGUAUAAUGAAAUGCCCAGAAAAAUUUCCAGUAUAUAUGGCUUACACGAAGGUAAGCAACACAAGCAAAUGAAAGUAAACUAACUAAACCAUUCAUACAUUGUAACUUGAGUACUUUAAAUCAAAUACAAAGCUUACAUGUCACGCCCCGGAGACGGCAAGGCCCUCCCGGUAGCGCGCCCAGACCCGCCAUAUGUCUGCACAUAUAAGGCGUCUACAACAACAGCGGAAGAGAAGCGAGAGAUAAUCAACAACUAGAGAUAUCAAAGCAAGUGUAACAACUAAAUACUAACAACAAGAGAAGGAAGGUAAAGUAAUCCACUAAAAGUAAGCAUAAAGUAGUACAAUAAUCAUCUCCAAAAGGGUACAAUAAGGGGUGGUUUCUAUACAUGGGUGAAACUCUCAACCUUUCUAAAAUGAAAACAACGAGUGGUAGACCACCUAUAGACGCGUCCCUCGAAGCAGCUAACUCGAGGCAAUACCCUUUCCACGGUCCCUAGCCUCUCCCGGCGUGGAAGGCUCUGAAAUAAAACAUAAAAUAGAGAGCGUGAGAACUAUAAUUUAUAGUUCCUAGUGGGCAAUUACUGACCUCAGCUCAAUGCACCAUUAGGCUUCAAAAGAAAAGGGUAAGUACGAUAAGCAACAAUAGUAGUAAUAGAUGAUAAUAAACUGCAGAAUUGAAAGCAUGAGUGAAAUGCUAUGCCACAGGUAAACGUGAUGUAUAUCAAUGCUAUCAUGUUUGAAUAUGCCAAUGUCGGGUAAAUACGCUCAUCAGUUACCAAGUAUACUAAGAUGCGAUAAGUAAUCCUAUCAAGUAUACUACAUGUCCCAAUAUCUCAAAGCCACACUAUGAGUAUGUCCAAUAAUCCAACUGCUAUGAUCUAUUUAGCAGUGAUUCAAAUUUAAGAGGUUAUGUUCAAGUUCAAUCUUGUUUUGGAACUUACACGAGUGUAGUCCGGCUUGCGCCGCCUAAGUGUCGGUGGUAGCUCCAGCAUUUUCACUCUGGAAAUGAGCCUAUCCCUCCCGAUCCCAUAGGCUUCUCGAUACCGCACGAGCGAUCAUAAGUCGCGUAGGUCAACUCCGGAGUGCCGACUUGUAGGGAGCGACCCUCACAAGCAUGUGCGAAUGAGCACAAAUGGCAAACAAGCAAUAUCAUCGUCUCAAGUAUCCAAUCAUCAUGUCUCCAACAUGGUAAAAGUCACUUGUAACCCGAAGGUCUAGUUCUAUGUCUCAAUAUGAGGUUUAAUCGUUCAAUCAUUUCUAUGUCAAUGACCAUAGCUUUACUACGUCAAAUCCAAGCCCAAUGCCCCUUUUAUGACAUUAGCUUACUAAAUCACGCGUCAUGUACAUCUAUGUUCUUUGAUUUCAUUACAUUAUGCUAAGUCCAAAUUCAGUCCCAACACUAGUGCUGCUUUAUGACACUAGGUUUCACUUGUCCCAAUUACAUCACACGCCCAAUGCCCCUUUAUGACAUUGGCUCAAUAGUAAGCUAAUAGUGUAAGUUUCAAGUCUCUUCACGGCAUUAUGUAUGGUCCUAUGUCCAACAUGAGAGUUAUGUCUAAAUGCACAUUAUCCUUCUCAUUCUCACUAUAUAAAACAUGCUCUUGAGUCUUAUCUAGAAUGCUAAGCACAUGCAUAAGUCUCACAUGCCACUCUCUGCUACAUAGAGGUCCAAAAAUGUAUUAUAUACAAUGUAGGCAUUUUAAGCAUUCUAAAAUUCACAAUAAAUACAUUUAUCAUGGAAAUGCAUGAAUUUCUACUUUACGAAGUAUAGAACAUCGGAUAUGAGAAUUUCUCAUAUGCUAGGCUAGGUCAAACCCACCGAACUUCGCGCAACCCUUCGUUUGCUCCAACGAAGAUGUCCACUAAGCUCCUAACACCCUAGAAGCAUCAAAAAGUGAGCUACAAGAAGUAAACGAACAACUAUUAACUCAAUCAUUAACCAUCUAGGCAUAGAGGGCUAAACUCUCACCUAUAGUGUAGAAAUCCCUUCCCAAAGCUCAAAUGGAAGCUAGAUCUCUCCCAAAGCAACCUAAACCAAGGUUCUAAUCCAAAUAGAUUAGCACAAAAAGCCCUAAAUCAAAAAGCCCCAAUUUAACCCUAGAUUUUCCAUUCUAGGGUUUCAUCUCCCAAAAUCCACCAAAACUAGGUUUAGAGGGGAGGAACAAGCAACAAACCUCUUUAGAAGUUCCAAUCCAAGCUCCAAGAGUGAAGAUCUCCUCUCUUGCAAGCUCCAAAUCCAAGCCUCCAAGCAUCAACAAGGUGGGAAGAGAAGGAGAGGAAAAUGCUCCAAGUUCUCAAGCUAGAUCCUCCUCCUCUUCUUCUCCUUCUUCUUCUUCUCUUCCUUCUUCUCCGUCUCUAUCUAGGGUGUUGGGAGAAUGAGAGAAAGAGAAAUGAGAAAAGGGAGAGGGUGAAAUGGCCAUGUAGGCCAUCAAAUGUAACAAAAUCCAAAGAGGCCCCUCAAUUUCCCAAUAUUGCAUCAGCUCGGACUGGGCAGUUUUCGGACUGAGGGACCGGUCUCUCCGAUCUGGGACCGGCCUCUCGGCCUGCCCCGAAAAUCCAACGUUCGGGAAUCGGUCUCUCCCUGCAUGGGACCGGUCUCUCCCCGCAUGGACGCGCUCGGGGAUCGGUCUCAUCCGCCAAGGACCGGUUGCCUCAAGGCUGCCGCACUACUGUUCCGGGGGGACCGGUCUCUCCUAGCCAGGGACCGGUCCCUGAGAGUAAAAACUCUCAGGACUAGUCCAGAACUCAGGUUUUCGAACUUUUUAGGUCGGAAACAUUCUACGACCCUCCACCAAGUGUAGAAAAGCUUGAAACACAUCCAACCACUCGAACCUCGCAAUUUGCACAGGUCCGUGUGCUACAUUACAGGUUAUGCAUUCACACAUUUACAUUGCCAUCUCUCAAUGAAUAACUUACAUUUCCUUUCAUCAACUAUAAACAGAUGAAAUAUACAAGGUAUAGCUAUACUCAAUAGAUGUUGCUAUCUAUAGCGCGUUGUCUCUGUCACGAUCCUCAAUCACCCCGCACGAGCUAGAACCUGCAUGGUUAGUGGGGUGAGAACUACUAAAAAUUUCCAGUGGGUUCGGCUGCCGACCUCGCCGACUCACCUACUAAGUUUACUCAGGCAUAUAUAGGCAAAGAAAAGAACAGAUAGUAACCAACUAUAACAUGUAAUUACUACAAUACCUGUACAAAGCUGAAAGGAACAAUAUAUAUAACAGAUGAAAAUUAUGCAUGCAUGCUAUUAAUAACCAUUACCCAAUCAAUCUGGUUAACCAUUUGGUUAACUAUAACUUACCAACUCAAUCACUUUUGUCGGGCCCUAAGCUGCCUCCCGAUGGGACCGUCUACUGGGAAGACUUAUACGAUCAACCGAGUUGAUGACACACUCCGGAGCUCAUCGCCCAAGGAGGAGAGACCUUACCUUGAGCAUUAGACUAAUGUGAGUAUGAUCCAAUCCUCACUUAGAGGAUGCACUGACAAUGCCACACUUUGACUAGCUCUUUAUGCUAGAUUUACAUGUCCAACUCUAGAUGCUAAUCAGUUCAUCUAGUUUUAAUGCCACACAUUUUACAAGUUCAUACAUCUAUAGGGUUCUAUGUUUACUAACCAUUGUCCAACUGUACUUUGCUUUCAAGGUAUACAAAUAGACCACAUGUCAAUCUAAUCACAUAUCAAGCUCAAUCCUAUAAUGCAUGAAUUUCAACUAAACAUAUACAAUCCAUAUAUGCUCAAGAAAAGUGGCGUAAACAUAAUAGGUCAUUCGAUGACUUCGGAAAGCACCACCCACCUUUAAUUAAUGCCGGAGUGCGAGAAAUCCACUUCCCGCACUUUAUGAACCAUCACGACCCUCGCUCGCGGUAAACGAAGCUAAAAUGAGGUUUUCCUCACUAGCUUGCCGUAGGCUCAUCGAAACGCCGAUCUGAGCUUUCCAACGCGUCAGUUUUACCCUCUAUUAGGUUUUCACGCGAUCAAUUCCAACCUAGAGCCUCAAUCUUGCAAAAUUGCAUUUCUAAUUUUAGGCCUCACAUAACUGUUACUACACCACUCUACAACAACAUAUAAAGUAACUCAACUUUAACUAGUCCAAGAACCUCAAAACUAACAGUUUAGAGGAUUUACCACAACCCUCAACAAAAACCUGCAUGCUGGUUCAUCACAAUUCCCAGCAGCCUAGCUUACAUAUAACAUACGUAUAGUUUCAUUAUUAGGUUCCCUAACAACUUUAACUCAUAUACAUAUUGUUAACUCCCUGGUUUACACAGCAUCCAGGAAUUCCAAUUCAAACUCCUUUUCGAUAAAUAAUUACUCCAACUUACCAUAGAACUAGCAACUUAAAUUCUAUAUGCUAUCAACUUAGCAUAAUUUCUAGAUUUCCAUAGCAUUCAAGAUGCUUUAGCAAUCAAGAUUUAUAAUUUAAACUUCUUUAGAGUGUAACUAGCUUAAAUCCCAGCUGAGAAACAACUUCUUACCUCAAUUCCUAAACUUCCUCCGCUAGUUUCCUGCUCCAAAAGCUUUCUUCUCAGCUCCAACAGCAAGAAAUCUGCUUCGAAAUUCUUCUCUACCAAGCUUUUCCUCACAGCCACUACAAGCUGAGAAUUAGCAAUUCUAUUGCUUACAACUCUCUCUAAAGCAAUUCUAAAUGUUAGCUACCAAUAAUUCAUAGCCCAAACACCUCUCUAUGUUAAAUACCAUAACACAAAACAGGGAAUAAGAUCAAUCUAUCCCUGAUUGCAUUUCUAAUCCAUAUCCCAGAACAUCAUGUUCACAAAGCAGUUUUUUUAUGCUUCUACGAGCUUUCACAGCUAUAAAACCCCAAAUUAACCUCUUUCCAAUGUAAAGAACUAAACCCUAAUCAUAACUUGAUUAAGUUUACCUUAAUUCGAUGCUCCAACAGCUAGCUUCCCUGCUCUAAAGCCUUCUCUUCAGCUCAAAACACCAAAAUCUGCACUUCUCCAACUUCUUCUUCACCAACUUGCUUCUAGGGUUGAGAGAGAAAGAGAGGGCGAAAUAGAUAAGAAGAAGGCUGUAGGAAGGAGCCCCUGGUACGUGGGCACCUGUAAAAUACCUGGGUUAAAGAGAUAAGACUGGAAUUUUACAACUUAACCCCCUAAAUAGCCAAAAGUGCAUUGCAGUCCAGCAAAUUUCGCAUGCUGGUACCGGUACUGGCUGAGGUACUCAAUGUAAAAUUCUGCACUAGCAGCAGCCUGGCAGCAGCAGCAAUUGGAGGCCUUUUUGCGCGUCUAGUUCACUCCGAAUCCAUCUAAGUACCUCCAAAACAUGCCAAACACUAUCCCCAAGCUAUCAAUUUAGUUUGGGAAUACCACAUUUACAUUAUUGCUUCUCUUUGAGCAAUUGAAUCCAAGUUAACCUUGUCAACCAAAACUCUCUUCUAAUUUCGUUUCGCGCCCGAUUUGCAUCAAACACUCAAUUACCUCCAGAAAUCAUUCCCACACCUCCAAAAUCACUCGGGAAUGAUGCACAUCCAAUUUAAACUUCACUUUGAUCUUCCAGAUCAAAGUUAGCAUCGCAACUCAAAAUUUUCAGUAUAUUACAUUACUAAUCAAGUGUAAAAACUGAAUGGAUAAGAAGAAGUAGAGAAUAUAAUAGAUAGCAAAAGAACACCCAAUUUAAAGAUGAAAAAGAAAAAAGAAAGCAGCAACAACAUGAACGUGACCGACAACAUGAACAACAACAUUAUUUUAUUGUGUAGUAGAUGGAACAUAUCAAUAGUAUGAACAAUGCAGACAAUGUAAACAACAAUCCAGCAACAAUAGACUUAGUUGCAAUUUCCUUUUCUUCAUAAUUUUAUUAAAAGGACUAUCACCAACACAAAGAAGGGCAAAACAACAAAGAAAGACACCUAAACAUGUGACAGAAUUCAAGCCUAAACGUAGACAAAGACUAUUUCUGAAAUUCGAGAUGCAAAACCAACCUAAUAACAUACUUAGUAGGUCGGGAAAAAAAAGAGAGAACAAAUUGUAUCCAAUAAUCUUCGUCAAACGGGAGAAAGGCUAGAUCUUGUAAUAACUAGGAGGCGUUUCCGGAUCAUCACUAGUUGUUGCUGUUGUUUCUACAGUACCUGAUGUUGCCGGAUGUCCAGUGGGUUCUUCUUCCAUCGGAUCAACAUUAGGGGGAUCAAUGAAAGCGCAGCAUCAAUACUUUCCUUAAUUUCCUUCAAGGCAGUGACAAUUUAUUUAUUUUUCUUCAAUUAAAAAAUUAUAAGACUUUUUGAGAAGAUCAGAGUUCAAAUUAAACAUUUCGUACUCAUUUUGGAGUUCCAAAUGCUCAUCAUAAAUACGAUCAUGUAAGUUCUUAUAAUAUUUCUUGUUCUCAAAAUUAACAUCUCUAACUUUAAAUCCCAAUUCUUUACGAAGCCUCCUAAUAGCUGCACAUGCGGCAUCUCUUUAGCUUGAUUCGACUCAGAAAUUGAAGCACCAUAACAUGUAAUUAUCUUCAUAAAUCGGCUACUUCUGGGUACUUCCACAUCAACAUAAGAACAGAAUCAACAAUCAGCAUCUAUAGUCAUGCGGUAUCUCGGGGGAGGUAAGGAAAUUUGCAAACAGAUAUUACGAAGCAACCGGCGAAAGCUGAUGUCGACAUUUAUGGAAGAAUCCAUCUCUGCAAGAAAAUGCAAGUUGCCGAAAAUUACACGGUGACCGUAUAUUUUAGCAUAGACUUGUCUUUCAAUUUAGUUAAUAAAUACAUUAUCUAUCAAUUUAUACAUAUUUGGAGAUAUACUUACAGGCAAUAAAUUUAUAAUUAAAAAAAGCACAUGAAGAGAUGCAAUAGUUAUUUAAAUUGUAAAUAUAUUUUUGAAACAAAACACAAAUUGCUGAAAAUUACUUACAAUAACAGGGAAGCAAUGCAGAAGCAAACAAAUGUAGAACGACAAUGCAAAUCACCGUCACUUUCCUGAGGGAAAAAAAGUUAUGUUAAUUAAAAAAUAGUUAAUGUCGGCUAGGAUUACGGGUAGAUAAAAUUAAAAAAUAAAAAUAGUAUAAAAAUUUUAUAGCUUACGGGAGAAAAAGGAUUGGGUUAUCAGAUACAGGAAAAAAUGGAUGUCAUAUGUGUUAUUGUAUAGCCGAAUGGACAUGUGUUAGGGUAUAGGAAGCUCUGCUGCGAAACGCUUCACCCAUAGUGGAUUAAUCCAAAAUCGAAAACGGCGACGAAGGAAGACGAAAAGACGAUGAAAGAAGCGGCGGUGAGGGGAGAAAUCCAUCGUUUGAUUCCGGCACCACAAACAGCUAGAAUAGAAGAAGAAACGGUGAUAGAAGAAGCGGUGGCAAGGAAAAGGAUCCAUUGUGCCCAAGGAAGAGGAAAAGGGAUGGUUCGGCCGGAACGUAACAGCCUAAGGAAGAGGAAAGGUCUGACUCGGUUUGGUUCAUGCAAGGAAAGAGUGAACCAGGUUAGGUUCAAGCAAAGAAAAAAAAAAUUGAGCCGAUUCGAGCAGGUUCACCCGGUUUGGUUCAAAAAUAAGAAAGAGGGAACCUGGUUCGAUUCAAGCAAAGAAGAGGGAACCUGGUUCGGUUCAAACAAACAAAGAGAAAAACUUGAGUUGGUUUGGGCACAUUAACCUAGUUCAAUGAAAGAAAGAUAGAAAUACAUAGAGGACUUGAGCCGGUUCGGGUUGGCACCAACACUAAACAAUCCGGUUCGGUUUAAGGAAAAAAAGAUAGAAACAUGUGAAGGACUUGAGCCGGUUCGGGUUGGUGCCCACACUUAGCAAAUCCGGUCCGGUUCAAGCGAAGAAAGGACAUGCUGCCACGUGGCAAAUUUAAGGGAAAUAAUGAUAAGAAAGAAAGAUAGAAAUACAUAGAGGACUUAAGCCGGUUCGGGUUGGCACCUACACUAAGCAGGACUUAAGCCAGUUCGGGUUGGCACCUACGCUAAGCAGGACUUAAGCCGGUUCGGGUUGGCACCUACACUAAGCAAUCUGGUUCGGUUCAAGAAAAAAAGAUAGAAACAUGUGAAGGACUUGAGCCGGUUCGGGUUGGUGCCCACGCUCAACAAAUCCGGUUCGGUUCAAGCAAAGAAAGGAUAUGCUACCACUGGCAAGUUUAAGAAAAAUAAUGAUAAGGAAUAGAUUGUUCUAAUUAAAGAUGUAUGCGUUGAGAAAAGUUCACUAACAUAAUUAAGGUUCCGUGGAAGUUGAUUUCUCUUAUUUAUGAUUGUUUUUCUGGAUUAUCCCUUUAAAUAUAAUGAUUUUGUGUAGUCCUUGGUUCUUACUUGUGAGGCAUUCAUUGUGCAGAGUGAACAAAUUCGGAUGGAAUUCGAUUCUUGAAUGCAUGAAAAAAACUGUAAGCCUGGAGGCUGGAGCCAGAACAUGGCUUUUUAGAAUGGCUGAAAUUACAUGAUUAGUCAUGGUAAUUUGAUCAAAAUUUUCCACUCGUCCACAUCAACUCGUUGUACCUUUGUUGAGAACAAAGAAAAUUUGAACCCUUUUUUUUUUAUCUUAUCAUAAUUGAAAUGACUAAUAUCAAAAGAAUGACAAAUGAGAACCGAUGAUCAUUUGCUCUGAGAAAAAUUUUGUUGAUUUUUAGAAAUUUUUAGAAAUGUUCCUUGAUUUAGUAAAGCAUUUGAAAAUUUUAAGACAUAAAAUUUAGUGUUUUGAUCUUGCGUGUAUUGAUUAGUGGUAGGGGUUGUGAGAUAAUUAUUCAGUAUUACGGUGCUGUACGACUCAUGUGUGGUAAAAUAAGCCAUGUAUAAGUCUUGUUAAUGUAUAACGACUGAUGGUUCUUGCGCAUUUGAGAUGUAGUGCAUGCACUUUUGAUACGUUAUAUGAUCAAUGCACUAAGCUGCUCUAUCAUUAUCUGGGUUUUGAGUGCAGUUCAACUAAUUUUUGCUCAAAGUAGGUUUUCUUCAACCAAAUGGAGAGAAUGUUAAGGACGCUUUAGUUGUGAUUAGCAGGAAAAAACAAGGAAAAGAAAAAGAGAGACAGGUUGCCGCACACUAUUUAACUCGUUUUCUUUGCUUUGUAAUUAGAUAUGCACAAUACUGUUCGUGCUCUUUGGCAAGCAUCUAACAAAUUUUGAGGCUUUUUGCAUUUUGCUGUAAACCAAUGCCUAUAAUCUAAAACACUACGUACUGAUCCAAGUACUAGCUUAUCAAAUAAUAUGUGCUCAACUUUGUCUAUCUCCUUUUGCCUAUAGUUGGAUUAUCUUUAUUAAGGCCGUACUAACAGCAGUGACAGGUAUUCUGUAUUAUGGGAAAUUAUUUUGGGCAUGUUGACACUGUAUAUUCUAAUUGGUAGCAUCUAUAGCCUUCUGUCCUCUCCUGAAAAUCACAAAGUGCAAUCAGCCUGAAUCUACAUUAUCUGUCACUAAGUCGUGGUAUAAACUAUUUUGCAUUUUGUGUUACAUUCCUUACGCCUACUUUGUUCUCCCAUUAUCAUGUUCCACCUUUUGACGAACUCAAAAUUAAAUGUGAAAAUAACAUUCCUUCUUGGUGGACUUUCAUAUUGCUUAAACUGUACUUUGCUGGAGCUUAUGGAUUAUUUCUCUUCUUUAGCCUGUGGGACCCAUGCUUCUUAGUGCUCUCCUUAAAAUUGGUUCUAUUCUUAUCAUUUAACCGGUUUGUUGUUUCCGCUAUCGUCGCUUCGGAUUCUAUGGGCCCUGAGCGCGGAGGUUCCUUCUCCUUUCCCGACCAUUUCCUCUCUUCGCCGCCUUGGUUUCUUGCAUCUGUUGAAGUCGAAGAGUUGUUCUAUGCCAUUUCUCCUACCUGCCUUUGCGUAUGUAAUUCAGUCUCGCUUCCGCGAUCUCUGCUCCUCUAUAUAAGGUGGAGAGGGAAGGGAGACAUCCUUAGGCGUAGUCUAAAACCCUAGUGCCACCCUUCCUCGCGAUCAGUGACGGCGCCUCUUGGCUCUCUCUCCCUCUUUGUGAUCUGAUUAAGGUUCGGUUGAGCUACUUGAGGGCUCACAGUGCGAUUUGGGGCGUCUUGUGGGGAUCGGAUCGCUUUAUCCCUCAAACUUUUAGGUAAGUUUUGCAAAUUUAGCUGAAGAAUCUCACUUGAAGAACAUUUUUUUUCCUCUCUUUAUGAUCCUUUUGAGGUUUAUGUUGCUAUAAUUUUGGGUUUGGAGCUUGAAUCCUUUGGCAUCGAUCUGAUCGGUUUUUCUUUUUUUAUUUUGUGCAAACUAUAAAUUAAUUUGUCCACAAGUUUAAUACCCUAUGAAGAAUCUGACAUCAAGGAGCUGUUAAUGUGCUCUUCUAGCAUAUUCGUGGAUCAAAAGAUAGAGUUUUGGUGCUAUUAUUGAUGGUAUUAUGUCUUUUUGAUGCAAUUUAAUUGUAAAUAAGUGCAAUUUCAAAGGAUGCAUGUAUGAAUACAUUCCUAUAAACUUGCAUAGAUAUAGAUAUAAACUUCUCUACACUUCUUUAGUUAUUUAGNCCGAAUUAGUUUAUCGAAACCAUGUGCAGUCAACACAACAGAUAACCACAUAAAAACACAUAAUAAAUAAAUAAAUGAUUAACUAAAUAACUAAAUAAGUGCAAUUUCAAAGGAUGCAUGUAUGAAUACAUUCCUAUAAACUUGCAUAGAUAUAGAUAUAAACUUCUCUACACUUCUUUAGUUAUUUAGUUAAUCAUUUAUUUAUUUAUUAUGUGUUUUUAUGUGGUUAUCUGUUGUGUUGACUGCACAUGGUUUCGAUAAACUAAUUCGGUAUCAAGUAUUUACUGAUUGAAUGUUUAGUAGAGAAAACAAAUAUGAAUUUUUGAUGGGUGUCCAAAAUUUUUGUUGUGUUGAAUGUACAGAGUUUUGGGAUUUGGAAAAAUAUGUUUAAGCGUUAUUGAAGAACGGAUCUUUGUUAUUUUAUUGUUCAGCUACUGGUUUGUAUGUGUUUGAUGAAAUGCCGAUUUGAAACUUAAUUCAAUAUAAAGAAAAUGCCUAUAUUUUUCCGCAUCCUUACAUUUUGAUUUUUUUAUUUUAUAGCAUGAAGAGGUGGUGAUAAAUUAUAUAAUCAGAUUAUCUGAAAAUUAAAAUACGGAUUAUGCGGUAAAUAGUUGAAUUUCCUUUUAAUUGGGCACCUCCUGUUAUUUUCUUUGAGUUAUUUAAAGUUCCAUAUCAGGAAUUGAAUAGCAAGAAAAGGUUGGAUGCAACCAACACUAUUAUUUAAGGUAGUUUGGAUGCAGGUGCUGUGGACAUUCAUUCUUGAAUGGAAUUUAUUUAAGCAUUGGUAAGAGAGGAUAAAUUGAUCUUUUGUAGGGUGGGUGGCAUUGGAUUAAGUUGAUAUUUUAUAGGGUGGGUAGCAUGCGAUUAUUUUCUUUGCAGUCGCCAUAAUAAAAUGAGUGCUACUUAGGUUGAGCGAUAUGUUGAUUAUUAAAACAAAAUGGUGGACUUGGAGAUAGCAAGGAAUUUGAAAAUCAUCUAUCAUCAUUUCUAAACAUGUAAUUGGUUCUGAUUGGUUGGCCCAAUUUGAAACCUUGAUGAGUCCGUAUAUUUGUAUACUGGAGCUAAUUCGACUAUACGCUGAAAUAAGAAAAACUUACUAUGAUGGUGGUUCGCAUUAAGAUUGGUUGGAUGGCAUCAUUCAUGUCAAAUGCAGCACUAUGCAGUAAACUGAGGACCGUAUCACCUGAGCCGUUCUCAUAUUCAAAUGCUCAGAUUUGUUGAAGCCAUCGGAACUAAUUAGAUGCUUGAAAUUAUUAAUGAACUACCAAUUUUUAUCUAUGGUUGAAUUGAAUGUGUGGAAAUAGUGAGCGAUGAUAUUAUAGGCUGAUUCGAAUUUGAUCAGGACAUUAGGGAAUUAGAAUUGCUAUUUGUUUGCUGGUGUUAAUAGAGUGUAGACGAUUCAGUAAGUACUUACACUACAUUAGUACUUUGUUAAAAACAGCUUCACUUUCUUUUUUCACACCGCCGUAGUAUAUACAAAUCAAAGAAGAUUUUGCUAACAAAAAGUGUUAUUUUAGAGUAAUUACUUUGUGGUUUUCCAUUCUACUGUUUUAGUAUAAGCUUUGAUCACAAGAAAAAAGAAAAGAAUUUUAUGCUCCAAUGCGAUUUUCCAGUAUAUGUUGCUUUUGAAUUUUUUUAGUUUUCUCUCCCCUUUUUUUGUGUACUUUGAAACUUUUUCAAUGUGUGGAGGUCCUGGCAUUAUUUUCUACCCUAUCUAUUUCUUUGUGCUGGAGUAUUCUUUUAGUUGUUGGUUAUUUGACUAUUACUUCACUGUUUGAGAAUUUCUUGCCUUUCUCCAUAAUUUGAUUGAUACUUUUUUGUGGCUGGGUAUUAAACGAUCAUAAUUUGCCUAUUUCUAAAAGAAAUUUUUUUCGUCGCGCCUUAAGCUCCCUUCUUAUAACUAUCGCUUCAUAUAUUUAACUAAACCUCACUGUCUAUUACUUCAUUUUCUUACUACCUAAGAGUUUUUUUCAGUUAUUUUGAAAGAUUGAAUAAUAAGGUUCUCACACGAUGUUGGUGAUGCCAAUGUGUGCAUUCUUGAUUUUUCUUUGAUUUGCUCUUUAAGUUUCAUAUGGAUGGAUACUUUUUUCUAUGCCUUUUUGAUAUUAUUUUAUUUAUUAUUGAUCUUCUGUUGUUAAAUUUUGAUUUAAAAAAUAUUUAUUUUCUUCAUCAAUGAUGCAAAUCAGUAUUUGACCGUAUACUCUAUUGUUUGUAUUUUCUUUUUUUUCCUGAAAUUCAUGUUCCUCAUUUGAUAGUUACAGGAUUGCUUUUUAUAUAUUUGAUGAAUUGUUAUUGCAAGCUUUCUUCUCUAGACUAUCGUCAAUAAUACAUGAUGAUAAAAAAAAAAAUUGCUUCAACAUUAAUAUCUAUCCGCUGCAUCGUGCUGGUACUAAACUAGUAUGUACUUAUUGCCGUAGUCUUUACCAUCUAAGCUUCCUUAUCCCUAAAUACGUAAUGCAGGGCUAGAGGCUUUUUAGAAGCUCUGACCAGAAACAGCAAAGAUUUGAUAAUUCUUUACAUAUUAUGACUAAUCCUUGACAUAUUAUAUGUCAUUACAGAAAACUGGAACAGCUAGCAGAAGAGGUUGACUCGCUGAAGGAGAGUCUUGACAAGCAUUUAAUGCGCCAACAAAAGCGAAUGGUCGAAGCUAAAGAAAGGGCAGAGUUACUGGAAAGAGCAGUAAGAAUUCCUUGAUUUGGAAUAUAAAAAAGAAGUUUUAAUAUCAGUUAUUUUUUUCCACCUGCAUAGUUGUUGGUCCUCUAUGAAAUAAGGAUAAUUUGGCUUGCUGUUUUAAUGGAAUAUUAGAGGUUAUAUGUAUGAUUGAUUGCAAUGAAUGGAUUCAACAUGGUUGUUGCAGAAUGGGGACUCCUCUCACGUUCUGAGGAUAUUUGAUGAGGAAGCACAAGCAAUGCAAUCAGCUCGAAACUCCUCCAUAAUGCUUGAGGAAGCUUAUGCCACUGGAGUGGCUAUUCUAUCGAAGUAUGCCGACCAGAGGGACCGCUUGAAGGUAAUUACUGAUCACCUACUUGUAUGAGACAUUCUCAAAAUCAGAGAUCAGCAUGAAUUUAAUCGACUUGAGCUUAUCUGAGACCAAAUAUAAUCAAUUUGCAAGUUAGGUCCCAUGUGGAAAAAAUAGGGCCUGUUUGAAUGCAUUGAUAUCUUGUUUAAUGUGCUUCUUUCAUUUCCUUUAGCUGGCAUGUCGUAAUUGGUUGAUGCGGUGUUGUACUAAUGUCUACCGCAGUAUAAUAUAACUUACCUUUAAAUGAUUAAUAUGAUAAAUCACAUAACAGGUGGUACUUGCUAUGUGGAAAAGAUGGAAGAAUCAAAUAUUUCAUGAUAGUUAAGAAUGUAACUCGAAAGUGGUGAUCACAAAAGAAAAACAAAAAAUCACCAUACUACACCAGAUCUCAAUUGGAUGACAUGUUGUGGCAUCCAAAUAGACCCAAGUGUCGAAAUAAGUUUGAACGUCGAGUUCUCCUUGGACUACUAGAUGUUCUUUUCUUUACUGAUAACUGAUUUCUGUGUCUGCAGAGAGCACAAAGGAAAGCGUUGGACAUCCUUAAUACGGUGGGUCUGUCUAAUUCUGUCUUAAAGCUUAUUGAGAGGCGUCAUCGUGUAGACAAAUGGAUUGCUUAUGCCGGUAUGAUCAUUACGAUUGUGGUGGUAUAUGCAUUUUGGAGGUGGACACAUUGACUGUAAUUAUUAGUGUGAUAUCUGAGAGAACCAGCAAACAAUUGUUACUGAGGAUGGUACUCGGAAUAUUCAUUUGGACUUUCCAUUGGCCGAUUGUUGAAGUUGUAUCUUCGCAAAACUAGUCUUUAUAUGUAGGUUUUUAUCAUUUUUUUUUUGAAAAGGGUGACAUUGUAUAUGUUUGUGACCUUUUUCUUUGGGUUUUCUAGUGCAAUAGUCUUCUCCUAAAAUUUUAUUUUAAAAAUAGAUCUGUUUAAUUUUUAUUUAUAAAUAUGGUUAAAAGCGGUGAACUAUUCACCACAUUCUUUUUUUUUCUCACUUCUCAUUAUAUUUCUAUGAUAGUAAAAGCGGUGAAUGGUUCACCACUUUUAUUCUUUUUCUACUCCCAAUGAGGAGUUAUGAAUGCGGUGAAUCAUUCACCGCAUUUAGAGAUCUAUUUUUAUAAUUAAUUUUUAAAAAAAAUUUAUUUUUAUAAUUAUAAAAAUCAAUAGGAUUAUUUAUAAAAUUUUUUUUUUCCUUUUCCUUUUUCCCUUCCCUAGAGUAGGAAUUGGAUUGUAGACUUGCAACAUGCUAUUUGGGACUUACUAUUUAUUUGCACGGCAUGUGCAAGUUGGUUGAAGAUGUUGGGAAUCACCGUUGUAGCAAAGCAAAAGCGAAACGCAAAAGUCUAGACCUUACACCAUUAAGAAAGACAAGCAUGUAAGCAGCAGAGCGGGGAAGACAGCAGAUUUGUUGUUCCAAAUGUUUAAUCUUGUUUUUAUUUCAGUCAAGUUUCCAUCGAAUAUUGGACAUCAAUUAGUCUCGCACGGACCUGUAACAAUUGUAAAUAAUAAUUUUUUAAAAAAGCAGUGUCGACAACAAUUGUUGGAGAAGAAAAAAAUAGAAGUUACAUAGGUUGAUUCAGUAGAUAUAUACAGGUUGCUUCAGUAGAAAAAAAAGCAGUGUCGACAACAAGUCAUAAUUCUCAUCCGCUUUUAUGUUAUCUUUUCAUACAGGUGAUGUAUUCGAUGAUGAAGAGCAAAUAAUGGGGCAAAUCAACACUAACGUAGAAGUUAAAUAUCCCUAAAUUUUGUUAAUAACGUGUUUGAGGUGAAAAAAAAAAAUUAAAAAUGAUGAAUAGAAUGUUGAACUUGUAGAAUAUUAUUUUUGAUGUGUGUAUUAAGUAAACCUUAUAUAAAUAGUAUAAUAAUAAAAUGUUGUAUUGUUAUGUAAGCUUUAUUUUACUCAAAAAAGGAAGCAGAAUACUAUAGGAAUGUUGUCAAGAUAUUGUAUUUCGUUUGUCAUGUAAUAUUAUAUAAAUUAUAACUAUUACAUGCUGCUUCUAAUUCUGACACUUUACAUGUACGAAAAAAAUUUUGUCCAUGAAUUGGAUCUGUUACUCACCUAGUUGGGGCUUCAGCACGUCUAACGACAAGAAGAAGCAACGUGAAGCUGAAAAUAAUGUUGUCCCCACUUUUGAAAUGGUCGGCCCUUGAACAAUCAAUUGGACCAGCUAGAAACACUGAACAAGAUUGUUCUGGAAGUGGCAUUCUAGUGGUAUUACUCGCUUGAAGACGAAUCCAUCAAAAUUAAAGACUACAUGGAAGAAGCUUUUCUAGCUGAGUUCACUACAGUUGACGAUAAAAUCAAAAUAGCUACCCUAGUCGCUACCAAAAAGGACAAAGGCAAAUCAAUAUCAGACUAUUAUACAAAGGUAACAAAAUUUUAGUCUCAAAUGUCAAUGUUUUGCCGUAGAACCGUUAUUUAAUAAGUGAACUACGUGCAGUGAGUGGAUUAAUUUUGCUUACAAUGGAGUGCUGUGUCCGCGCACUAUAAUAAAUAGAUUGUAACAAUUUAUACUACAGGAGGAAUCAAACAGCAGAAUCCACCAUUCAAUGGUCACCUGCUUCAACAUAGAAAUUCGAUGAAAAGAGACAUUUGCAAACAGAAUACAAAAGACACAACAUAAAAGCUGGUCCCAAAAGGUAGAACUAUAGAAGCUACAGGGCCAAAAUUACACUACCCAGUACAGAGGAGCACCCCCAGUUCAAUUUGCAGCAGCCAUCACAAAAUAAGACGCCAUAAAGUAUAGAGUUUAUUCAAACUGGAGUCCUUAUAGCAGCAUUCAACAAACACCAACACCAAAAAGAAAACAACCGACUCAACAGCGCAAGAUCGAAACAGAACACAACUAAAGCUUGUAGACUGCUAACAUAGCAGGACACUAUAACCUAAUACACUGCCCAGAGCAAGACAUAGAGACAUAGUAACAGUAGUAAAAGACUUAAUACACUCCCAAGAGCAAGACAUAGCAGUAGUAUUAAUAGGAAUAGUAGUAGUAGAAGUUGACAAAUAUAUGCAAUCAUAUCACUCUUCCUCCUCAGACUCUGCCGUCUGUAGCCACUCAACAAAGGGCUUCACAUUCUUCAGCACCUGAGAGCUCUUGCCGCCAGCUGUCCCUUCCUCAUACCACUGUGCUAUGCUUUCUUCCUCCAGAACAUCCGCAUCAUAAAGUGCUUUGAGAACGAGUGCCACCUCCUUCAGGGCUUCUGCGCGGCACUUGCCACAAAAUACUUCGAUAGCUUGGAGCAAAAGCAGCUGAGAUGCCUCAUCCUGCACAAAAGCAGCAAUGUACUUCCUUUUCUUGCCCACCUCCUUUGCAAAUCCUUUGCCAACACCUCCAAAAAGAGCCUCAAAAAGGGCUGUCAUUACGUCCCGAGAAGGCUGACCUGCUGUACCCAGAAAACUCUGAAGCUGGUUUGGGGUAGAACCCUUGUUUAUAUGAUCCUUGAUCUCCCGAAGCAGUGAAUCAUAAGCACUGAUAUUGGCUUUGUCACCAUUUUGGGUAGCACAAGAUUUUUCUUCAUCUUUGAUCUUUCCAUUAGUGAGCCCCUCUUUCUUUGCCUUCUCUUGCUUUUUGUUAUCCUGCUCAGGCUCAGUGGCGGAGAGCAUCACCAUCUCCGAAGUCACAGCAUUAAGCUGUUCUUGAAUCCGCUGCUUUGCUGCCUCCAGUGAGGUGUCGGUUUGCCACUGGACAUCAUCAUCAUCAUGGUCAUCAUUAUCACCAGCAGCAUUAUCACCAUCUUGACUCUCAACAGGCGAAGCCGAACGAUCCUCAUCAGAACCACCACCAUUAGCUUUCUUCUUCGAAACACCAGCUUUUGCACCAGAGGCUUCCUUGGAAGAAGCACCACCUUUCUUCUUCACAUCCUUUUUCAGCUUCUUCUGCUCCUCAUCAGCAGCCUCCCCUUCCUUGAGCCGUUCCUUCUCAGCCCUCCUCAUUGCCUUCUUAUUAUCUUUUCCUCCCUUCUUUUGCUCAGGUGGGUUCUUAAGAAUGAAGGUUGUGAGCUUAUCCCUCAUAUCAACAUCAGACACAUACCCACAGGCAGCACAUUUCAGGGUAAUCAUCUGAGUCUUAGUGAUCACAAUUUCAGUCUCAGGGUUGCCACAUCCGUAGCACUGCACGUACUUCUUGAUGAAGUUCUCGAGAAGGCCAGCCAGCUUGGCAGUGUCAUGGGCUCCAUUCACUAGGGAAGUGCCAUUCUUCUCAUCGAACUUCGACUGCGCACCAAGCUCACAGCCAAAGUACUUGGUGGUGUAAGAGGCUGGCCUGGCUAGUGCUUUUGCAAUGUCCACCAUGUUCACAAUGUUGGUCUUGAUACCGUUUCCUCGGCCUUCAAUCUUCGUUACCAUCUUGGGCAUCUUGUACCUAUAAAAGGCAUCAUCGCUGUUCGAAGCACCAAUAUUUUGCAAAGCCAUAUUUGCUUCCUUCUUAGAGAAUGAGAAACUUGACACUAUAUAGGCAGCAAAAGUUAGCAGUGCUGUUUCAUUCGAGGAGGCCACGCAGCUGUGAGAUGUUGAUUACAGUAGCAACUACCAAACUUUUGCAGGAAUGCCAAAUGGACUCGUGAUGCAUGCAGCCAAAGAGACUCUCGUAGGAGAGUCGGAACCUUUUUCUUGAUGUAGGAGAAUACUCUCCAAGCAAUCCAAUUGAUCCAAAGUAAAGAGAGGCUUGCUCAGACAUAAAAGAAACUUCAAUGUUCACGGCUUCCACUUUGGCUAUGUGCUUGUAACAGAACAGUCUGGAGAUGCCAACUUCCUGAAUAAGAAUUAGACACAUUAAAUUAAUAUUAAUCGAUAUCCACAAGAUUGCGUAUGCAUGAAGAGUGACAAAAUGGGAAAAUAAAAAUUAUUCUGUCUGAGGUAUCAUUCCACUUAAUCAUUCUUCAAACCUCAAAUAAAAACAAAUGCAAAUAUGAGAAAAGCCACUAGCCCACUAGCAAUUCAAUUUAGUCCGGGAAAAUGUCGAAGUAUUAUGAAUCUUUAUUCCAUCAUUUCAUUACCAGAUUAGGUAUUUAUAAAUCCAAUAAAACAGUUCGACCACAUAAUAGUAAUUAUGUUAUAUGUAGUGGUUAAAUGUCUUCUGAAACAAAUUAAUUCAUUGUAUAAAUAACAAAGGAAAGGGUUAUUCUAAUGAUAUAUAAUUAUGUUCUAUGUCAUUAUAAAAAGUGCGGUUUCUAGCUGUUAGGUAGCCACUAUUAAUGAAAAUGCUUAGUUUGCUUCGAUAAUUGAGAUGACGAACUCUAAGCCUUUCAACUUUUCCUAGUAAACUUUGUCUUCUUUAAGCUUUGCACCAUCAAAACUGUUUAGCAUUUUAUGAACAUGUUUUUCUUCAUUAUUGCAGUGAACAAGUGAAGGACAGAUUUCUACUUCACUUUUUCUUUUCAUCCAAGGUCCUUUUGUGUUGAUUUACAAAUCGAUAACUUCAUGCGCGUAAUUUAAAAGCGUAUAAACCUUAGCCAAUCAAUCAGCCUUCCCUGAGACCCAAGUAGAUUAGUAUGUAAAUAUAUAACUACUGACAUCAUAAGACAAAUCUACAAACAAGAUAAUACUUGAUGUUAUAAGAAGAGAGUCUUCCGACUGCAUGAACAAUCCACGAUAAUCAAAUUGCAAGUCCAACACAAGAAUUCAAAGUGCAGUUCAUGCGUUAGACUUAACCAUACGCCCGACCUCCAACCCAUAAAUAAUAAGUAGCAAUCACAUUAUCAGGUUUGAACUUAACACAGCCUAAGACACAAUUCUAGUGUCGAGCUUAAUUAGAGACAUGGGCUUGGCACAUGCAAAGUUUUACCUUGGAAGAAAUUCACAUGUAAUAUCUAUUUGGGAAAGGGAAGUGGAAGAGAUGAUCAACCUAAGAACAAUUGAGCACCCAUAAUAUCUCUAUAAGAAGACAGGAUAAAACCCUAGCUCAGAAAAAAUUGCAUAAAAUCACAUAUUAAAAUAACACAUAUCAUAACUACAAGAUCCGAUGAGAUCGUUUCCGAAUCAAAACACGAGGAGAGGCAAAAAAAAAAGAAAAAAAAAAUCAAAUCAAAUCAAAUCAAAACCAGAUCGAACAAGAUCGGAAGAACUCGUAACGGUGAAAAUCGAUCAACCUAUCGAUCGAUCGAUCGCUCGCUCGCUCGCUAGCUACAAGAAGAGAAAAAUUUGAACGUGUAUUCCAUUUGGGAAAGGGAAGAGGAAGAGAUGAUCACCGCGAUUGGGUUGCUUCGCCGCAGAGAGCUCCUCAGAUUUAACCUUUCCUCUUUCUUCGAUGUGGAGGAAACGAAGAGAGAGAGGGGGGCGGCGGGGUAGUAUUUAUAGCAAGGAGAAGGGGAUCGGAAGGUAACCCUUGUGUCUCAUGGUUCAGAUUUUAGGGCACCACUUACAUUAGUUUGCCCGCAAUUUGCCUUUGAAUUACCUUUUUGCCCCUCCAAAGGCGGUAGCAGCAGCCGCUGCUCAUAGGGGUGUAAACGAGCCGAACACGCCCAGUAAAAUAUCGACUCGAAAAAUUCAGCUCGUGUUCGGUUCGUUAAUAAACGAGCUGAACAUAAGCUGGCUCACGAGCUGACCAACGACCAAUAAGUUAAUAAGGAUUAGAUUGAAUAUGCAUAAAAAUAUAAAUUUAUAAAAUCUUAUCUAUUAAACUUUGAUCUAAUAAUUGAAACUUUACAUAUAAAUAAGUUUUUUUAUAAUUAAACUUUUAUUUAUAUUUUUAUUUUACUAAAAAUUAAAUAAUAAAAUUAUAUCUUAUAUAUAAUAUUUAUUUAUAUAUAAAAAUAUAAAUUAAAUUAAUUAUAUAAAUAUAAAAUAUAUGUAUUCGAGCUGUUAUCGUGCCAAACACGAGCGAGCUUAUCCCAGCUCGUAUUCGGCUCGUUUAUUAAACGAGNCUUGUUUAUUAAAUGAGUUGAAAAAUUCAGCUUAUGUUCGGCUCGUUUACUAAACGAACGAUUCGAUCUCAAGCUCAUUUUGAGUCGAACACGAGCUGGCUCACGAACAACGAGCUAGAUUGCCACCCCUAGACACAGGGGGUGUUUGGCCUAAAUUUUAAAAAGUGUUUUUGAGUUGAAAAGUGAUUUUCGGCUCAAUAGAGCGUUCGACAUCUUCAUUUUUAAAAUCUAAUUCUGCUUCUAAGAAUCAGAAAACUGAUUUGAAGGCCGCAGAAUCAAAAGUGCCGGAAGGUCAAGGAAGUUGGUAACCUGAUGACAGGGGAGCCGGCGACUGAAGCCUCGGUGAACGGCGGCCGUAACUAUAACGGUCCUAAGGUAGCGAAAUUCCUUGUCGGGUAAGUUCCGACCCGCACGAAAAGCAUAACGAUCUGGGCAUUGUCUCGGAGAGAGGCUCGGUGAAAUAGACAUGUCUGUGAAGAUGCGGACUACCUGCACCUGGACAGAAAGACCCUAUGAAGCUUUACUGUUCCCUAGGAUUGGCUUUGGGCCUUUCCUGCGCAGCUUAGGUGGAAGGCGAAGAAGGCCCCUCCGGAGUCAUACUUCCUUCACCUAAACUAGAACUUGAUUUAGCGGCUCUUUCCAAAAGGCGUGAAUGUAAAUAAAAAACAUCUCCUGGAUAAGCUUCACGACCGGGAGGUCUUCUUAAUAGAAGAGACAUUUGGCGAUAAGCUUGUACUUGUUUGGAGAGAUCAUCAUAAGCCCAUGCUAAAGUUUCAAACAAUUCUUGUCAAUAUCCACACCAUUAAAUUAAGAGCUGCUUCUUAAAAUCUAAUUAUGAUUUUAGAAUCAAACGUCAAAUUUUUAUUUUAAUUUAAAUUCAAUGUUUAAAUUUAAAUUUAACUUUAAAUUUUAAUUUUCAAAUUUAUUUUUAAAUUUUUAAAUUUUAAACUUUAAAUUUUAAAAAAUAGAUUUCAAACUUUAAAUAUUAAAUUUUAAUUUUAAAUAUCAAAUCUAAAAUUUUAAAUUUCAAAUUUCAAAUUUUAGAUUAAAUUUAAAUUUUAACAUUUUAGAUUUUAAAAUUUAAAUUUUAAAAUUUAAAAAUUUUAAAAUUUAAAUUACAAGUUUUAAUCUUCAAAUUAUAAAUUUCAAAUUUUUAAAAUUUAAAAUAAAUAUUUUUAAAUUUUAAAUUUAAAUAUUAAAAUUUUAAAUAUUAAAAUUUUAAAUUUUAUAUUUUAAAUUUAAUAAUUAUGUUAUAUUUUAAAUUUCAUAAUUAUUUUAAAUUUAAAUUUUCAAUUUUUAAUUUUUAAAUUUCAAAUUUUAAAUUUUAAAUUUUAAAUUUAAAUUUAUAUUUUUAAAUAUUAAAAUUUUAUAUUUUUAAUUUCAUAAUUAUNAAAUUAAAUUUAUAUUUAUAUUUUUAAAAUUUUAAAUUUUAAAUUUUAAAUUUUUUAAAUUAAAAUAUCUAAUUUUAAAUUUUGUAUAAUUUUAAAAUUUUAAAAUUUUAAUUUUAAUUCAAAUUUAAAUUUAGAUUUUAAAUUAUUUUAAAAUAAAAUUUAAUAAAAAUAUUAAUUUAUACAAACAUCAAAAAAAUUUUGCCAAAUAGAUUUUCAAAAUCACUUCAAAAAAAUCGCUUUUGUCUAAACUCAGCAAAACGCUCUACAGCAUUUAGCCAAAAUAACUUCUCCAAACUAUGGGCCUCUUUGGCCUAACUUCUGGAGAAGUGAUUUAUGUAAAAGUGAUUUUGGUUUGGAGAAAGAUUUGGAGAAUUGAUUUUGGUGAAAAGCUGUAGAGCGUUUGGUUGAAUUUAGAAAAAAAUGAUUGUUCUGAACUGAUUUUCUAAAGCUGUUUGGCAAAAAAUUUUUGAUGUUUGCAUAUAUUAAUAUUUUUACUAAAUUUUAUUUUAAAAUAAUUUAAAAUUUCAAUUUAAAUUAAAAUUUUAAAUUUAAUUAAAAGUAUAAUUUUUAAGUUUCAAACUUGUACAAAAAUAAAUUUGAAAUUUCAAAAUUUUAAAUUUAAAAUCUAAAUUUUAAAAUCUAAAUUUAAAUUUUCAAAUUUAAAAUUUAAAAUAUAAAAUUUAAAAUUUAAAAUAUAAAAUUUAAAAUUUAAAAUUUAAAAUUUAAAAUUUAAAAUUUAAAAUUUAAAAUUUAAAAUUUAAAAUUUAAAAUUUAAAAUUUAAAAUUUAAAAUUUAAAAUUUUUAAAUUUAAAAUUUAAAAUUUAAAAUUUAAAAUUUAAAAUUUAAAAUUUAAAAUUUAAAAUUUAAAAUUUUGAAAUUUAAAAUUUAAAUUUUAAAAUUUCAAAUUUUGAGAUUUGAAACUUAAAUUUUAAAUUUUAAAUGUAAAUUUUAAAUUUUAAAUUUGAAAAGUUGAGAUUUAAAAAUUCAAAUAUGAAUUUAAAAUUUCAAAAUUUAAAUUUAAUGUUAAAUUUAUACUUUGAAUCUAAAAUAAAAAUAAAAGUUAGAAGUUCGAGUUCAAAAUCAGAAUCAGUUUUGGAGAAGCAGCUUUUUUUUGCUUCUGAUUCUGGAGCCUUCAAAAUCAGUUUUCUGAUUCUAAAAAGCAGAAUCAGAUUUUCAGAAUGUUAUUCUCAAACACUCUACUGAGCUCAAAAGUAAUUUUGGGCUUAGAAUCACUUUUGAAUAGCUAGGCCAAACACCCCCUAAAAUUACUUUUUCAGAAAUCACUUUUUUAGAAGCUAGGCCAAACGGGCCCACUAUUCACUUCAACCUGAAUCCGCCAAACCGAAUCGGACUCGUUUACAAAUUUAAAAUUAAAAUUUUUUGAAUAAAUUAAUUUAACUAAUUUUUUUGAUAAUUAAGUAUAGUACUUAAGUAUCCACAUGUUCCGGUGGGUCGAUUUGUAAGAGAAGACGAAGAAGGAAGCAACAACGAUGAUAAAAAAAAAAAAAAAACAGUAAACGCAUAAUAAAAAGUAUUAUAAAAAAAUAAAAAAUAAAAAAUAAAAGAUGAAUACAAAUCAAAAGUGUCAUCAGUUACAAGUAUAAAUUAUUUUAGAGAUAAAGUUCAUAGGAGAAAUAAAGAUAUGAAAAAGAUAUUAUAUGAAUAUGACCUAAAACCGUUGCCUUUUUAUCAAUAAUUUUAGAAAAAUAAAUAAUUUGUUAAACACCAUAAGAAAUAAAAUCUUGUAGUGUUAAUUAGGUGCAUGAUGGUCGAACAAGCAUCCACUGCAACUAACAUUAGAUUCAUACUCAAGUUCCAAAGUACAACCAUCUGUAAAUAAUGGCGAAAGCACCGUAAGAAAUCAACAUGACAAAGAAAGGUUAGAAAAAGUAACUAAAGAAAAAAAAUGAUCAAUUAGUAGUAAUAACAACACCAACAGUAGUGAACAAACUAAAUAAAAAAAGAUGGAAAGGAGUUAGCACAAAAAGGUGUAAUAGAAAGUAGAGUCUCUCUACAAAACUGUCGACAUAGUAGCAAGAAUCAGACUGCAGAGAAUAAUACAUCAGCAGCUUGGACAAUAGGUAAGUUCUAUGUAGUCAAAAUUUAGCCAAGUGUGCUGCAACAAUUGCAUGAAGAAUGACCAGAACUACAAAAGUAUGAAAGAAGUUAAGAAGAAACUACAACUAUAACAAAAAGAAGAAAAAGAAGAAAAAGGAGCAAGAGUAGCAGAAACAAUAGUAAAGCACUAAAUAGAAAUAAAAUACCAAACAAUAGCGUAGGCAUACCAACAUAAAUUCGAUAUGCAGUAGAAACAAACGAGGAAGAAAAGUGAAUAUAAAAGCAGAAAAAGCUAUAGCAAUUUUAUUGAAAAUUAGAUUAUAAAAUUUUUGAGUAUUGUAAUGCCAUACUUAUAAGAUAAACAGUAAAGUUAUUUGUAAUAUUAUCAAUUAUGAUGAAUGAAAUCAAAAUGACCAAUAUCAAACUUCGAGAUUUGAUUGAACGAAAAAAAGGUUAGUACAUAAACACUACUAGUUGAAAUUUGCAGAAAGUAAGAAAUUUUGCAAUGCUAACAGAAAGCACAUAUUAAUGCCCAAGAAUAUAUGCUUCAAGCUACAUAGGGAACCAAUAGCAAUAGAUGCAUAAGAAGAACAAAAAAACUAGGUGCAGCACAAGAAGAAGCAACAACAGCCUUAGUGUUAGAAGUAGUAGUAGCCCCGGUAUUAGCAGUCAUAGCAACAAUUUAGUCAGCGAUGAAUGGAGAAGCUAUGGAAAAGAAAGAACAAUAAUUACACAAAUUUACCGACCGUCCCUAGAGCAAGUGGCAAAGGGCUUGGUGGUUGGUAUCCGAGACCCAAGUUCGAAUCCUAGUUGAUUCACAUUUUCAGCUAAGUUUAUUUCUAAAUAAAAUAAACGAAGCAGGUAGCAUGCUACCUAUCUCUCAAAAAAAAAAAAAAAAAAACACAAAUUUCUGAUUUCUGUUUAUUGAUUUUAGUUGUUUGUAAUAUUAAAGUUUACAAAAGUUUAACAAAUCGAGUAGAAAAAAAAGUGGUUAAAAUUAAAUCGGAAGGUGGAUUGUGUCAUUAUCUCUUCCACACACAUUUUACUUCGCAAUUUCUGUGGAAUAACAGUUGUAAGAGCUGCCAUUUGGCCAUUAGAUUUGUAUUACUAUUUAAACUUCUUUGGCCUUUUUAUUCAAACAGAAAAUUUGUUGUAUACUAUAAAGAUUAGAUCUCCCAGUAUUGCGUAAGUGCAUCAUAGGUAAGGAAGCAUCUAUUGCAGCUGUCGAGCCUGGAGAUUCAAAUCAACAACAGAAAUGACUUUUGGCAGAAACUAAAAUAUUUUGUAAGGUAAAUUUUACUAUAUAUUCAUUCAUAGUCUUUUAUAAGGCGGGUUUAUGGGUUUGUUGGUUUAUAUGGUGAUUUUAGUAGAUUGUGAACCCAAUCCCUUACCAAAUUGAACUUUGAAANGAAUUAACUAACUAUGCUCAUCGCUUGAACCUGAAUUAUUUUCCGAUCGAUACGGUUCAAUUUUAAAAAGUAAAAUAAAAAAAAAAUCAAAUAAGCUGAAUUAAAAAAUUAAAUUAUUAGCUAUUAUUAUUUUUGAAUAGAGUAAUAAAAUAAAAUGUACCAUACUUAUAAGUUCUAAUUUAAUUUUUAAAAAAAUUAUAUUAUUAAAAUCAAAUAAACUAAAGCAAACCAAAAUUAUUUGGUUUAGCAUCCAAUUCAGCUUUAUUCAAUUAUUAAAAAAAAAACCUAAAAAUUGAAACGUAUUUAGACAGCAACUAGUUAGGAAAAUUUUCUUUAUAAGCGUUUAGGAUUCAAACAACUCUAUUGUACAUCUUUGAGAUUUGAAAAGUCUAAAAAUGAAUAAUAGAAUAAAUUUAUUGCAACUAGUUUUGGUUCACGCUUCGCUACGGAUCGAUAGUAUUUGUAAUACUCGUAUCCAAUUAAAAUUUAAAUAUGCAGGUAUGAUUGUAGUUUUGUGAUAAACCUGUCAUUAAUAUUUUUUUGAUUUAUUUGUACCGUCGGAUUAAGCGGAUUUGAUUGGAUUUGAUUUUCAGAUUAAUUAUACUCUAAUACUAGUUAGAGUAUGAUUUAGAUUUAGCCCUAAUUAAUCACCUAUAAAUAGGUAAUUUAGGGAGAGUGUACGACCAAAAUAAUAAUAAUAAUAAAUAUUGUGGCCGGAUUCUUUGUCCAAGCGUGGCCGCCAGCGGGAGCAAGAUCCGACGAUCGUGGAGGAGAGAUAAAAAGAGCGAGAGCGAGGCGAGUCUCCAAUAAUUAGUUCUCUAGUUUUUUUUUCUCUCUCUUUUCUUUCUUCUUCUACCUCACCAUCUUAUCCUCUCUUCUCGUUGUACCGCCACCACCGUCGCCGGAGUGGUCGCCGGCCACCUGUAGUGGAUUCAGGUGAACCCUGUAUGGGGUGACCAUGGUUGGUCAUAAGAGGUGUCACGCCCCGCGACCAACCACCAAUUUGGACCGGGUAGCGGCGCCGCUAACAGACCGCCGAACGGACCGGGGUUUCCCCUGUACGCGGACAGAGUCUCCCCUGUACGUUCUAGGCGUCACAAUCCAAACAAUACAACGAGUGUUCCAACUAGGAACGGAUAACAAUCCAGAUUGCAAAGGAAGUAUCAAAUACAUAAAACUAACAGCUAUUACAAGCAUUCAUUCACAUUCACUUAGUACACCUCAGUUCAGUUUACAUUUUUACUUCCAAUUACAAUCACAUUAUUACGUCAUUUAAUUUACAAGUUUGAUACGUCUUGGUUCUUGCCUUCUAGUCCCCUAAGCUAGACUGCCUCAAGGNNNNNNNNNNNNNNNNNNNNNNNNNNNNNNNNNNNNNNNNNNNNNNNNNNNNNNNNNNNNNNNNNNNNNNNNNNNNNNNNNNNNNNNNNNNNNNNNNNNNGGUCUGGCAUUGGGAUUUUGGCGAGAUUUAGCUGCAGUUUAUUAUGAUCUUAAUGAUUGUAUUGGUCAGCUAACUAAUUGCCUAGGUCUCUAAACGCGGUCGGCGAAGACAGGUUUGCGUGGCACAGAGGGCGGGGGUUGCGGUUAUCGCGAGUCGGGUAUCGAGGUCGCUUCGCCGAGGAGUGUGAAGCCGCGUGCAAAGAUCGCAACAUCGAGUUAUCUAUUGGUUCGGCCGCUCGCAUAGGUGGGGUAGGAUGUCCAUCGCGAAGCUGGGCUCCUUCUUAGUCUUAGUACCACACUGUCGCAUAUCUGGACUCUUGUAUUUUUGCUCUAUAGGAACUUAUCAUGUGUUGCCUUAUCUUCUGCGCAUCCUUCGUCGAUGGCUAUCGAGCGUAAUUGGAUAUUUGUAUCAUUGGAUUGAUAAGGAUUUGGUCCUGAUUUGUGAUUAUAUGUAAAGGAAAUCGAUGAACUCAUAGAGUGAGGGGCAUCUAGUCAAUUAGUCAACCAUGACGGUGGCAUCUAGUGUAUCACACACACCAGCGAACAAACGCGACAAUCAUAGUUAAAUAGGAGGGUAAUGUGACAGCCUUAUGCGGACUGAUAUGAUAGACUGUGACUCUAGGAGACAGGGUAAUCCUCGAGCUUAGAGAGAUUUGUGAUCAUGUCACGAGUCUGAUUAAUUUGUGAGUGGGCAAGCCCACACAGGUAGGUGCGGUCCGGAUGUUGGGUCACGCGGGAUUAGGCCUAAUAUGGGCCCGCCAGCGGUCUCGCGAGUCCGGUAUGUGUCGAGGCGUUGAUGGUGCCCUGUAGCGUCGGAUCGGGGCUAGGUGAGACUGGGCGAGCUCGGGUAAGCGAUCAGAGGAUUAAUUGAACAGGUAAACAUGAUGGUUAUGGAACGAAGUGAAAGGGCUUCACCUUUGGACUUGAUGACAAGUUAAGUUGCGUUACCCAGAUUACACUUGGUCAUGCAUGCAUAGAUUAUGUUGAUGUAGAAUAGCUGUCAUUGUCGUUCGUUAGGCCCCCCCCCGCCGCGCACCACCUAUAUAUCUAUCUAUCUGUCUAUCCAUCUAUUGGUAUAUCUACUUGUGCCCGCUUGGACCUAGUGGGGAGAUCGGCGGAGUCGGCGGCCGAACCCACUGGGAACUAAGGAAGUUAGUUCUCACCCCCAUUUUUACCACAGGUUCCAGUUCGGGUGUCCCCGGUGAGCGUGAGGAUCGCGGUAAGGGCCCGGCGUUUUAGUAGCAUUAGCUACCUUCCUUUUUGCACUAGCCGUCACCCUUUUAUAUUUGAGAGUAGAUGAUGUAUAGGGUGAGGUUCGAGUGAUUGUAUUUAUAUUUUGGAAGAAUGUAAAAGAUGUAAUUGAAUGUAUUGAGUCAAAUGAAUGUAAUAGAUAGCUCUUCUCUCUUAUGUACUUGUAUAUGUUUCUAUACUUGUAUCUUGCUCUCGUCUUAUUAGCACUUGUUGUGCUCUUGUGAUUGUGUACUUAUGAGUUGAUUCCUGGGUAAACUCUUGUACAUGAUCGUUUGCUUAGCCUUGGGCGGACAGGGGAGACUCUGUCCGUUCGGCGUCUGUUCGACGCGCCCGGGCCCGAACCAAAUUGGUAGCGGUCGCGGGGCGUGACAGAAACCGAUACCAAUUUGGUCCAGUUCGGGCGCGUCGAACAGACGCCGAACGGACAGCACCUCCCCUGUCCGCCCAAGGCCAACAGCGAGAUCAUGUAAAACAAGUUCCUAGGAAAUCACUUGAAUACAUACAUGAUCACAUAACAACUAUGAGGGGAGCAGAAUCAGUGCUAAACAACUAAGAGCAAGAUACAAGUAUAGAACAUACGAGUAAUAAUAAAGAGAGAAGAGGCUAUCUAUUACAUUCAUUCAGCCUUUAUAAUACAACUUGAUUAUGCAUUAAGCUUCUAAACAUAAUAUAAAGCUUACAUCUUCUAAAAUAUAAACAUUAGCUUACAUUCAUCCCAAAAUAGCUCACAACCUAUACAUCAUCUACUCUCAAUGUAUAUAAAGGUAACUCUAGUGCAGAAAUAGGAAAGUAAACUAAUGCAACUAGGGCGCUAGGCCCUUACCGCGAUCCUCACCGCGUGAACUCGCGCUCGGCCCUGUAGUAAAAUGGGGGUGAGAACUAACUUCCUUAGUUCCCAGUGGGUUCGGCCGCCGACUCCGCCGAUCUCCCCACUAGGUCCAAGUGGGCACCAGUAGAUAAUUGAUAGAUAGAUAGAUAAGGAAAGCGGUAAAUGACAGAAGUAAAGGUACUCUACUAUGCCCAAUCAUAAAUAUAUGAAUGCAUGUACAAUGAAAUAGGUAAGCAACUAACCCAUUACCAUGUCCAAAGGUAAAGUCAUUUACUCGUUCAUCAAUCUUAUUUACUUGUUUCUUAAUCUCGUGGCUUCCCUGAAGGAGCCUACAGCUCACUAGCCAUCUCGAAGGUAGGGAGGGUCAACUCGCACUACGAACCGAGACCGUCUGCCGGGGCCUAAAAUAGGCAAUCCCUUGGGACCCAAACUAGGCAAUCCCACGUGACCAACUCCGGAGCGCACUACUUGUGUGGGGCUUCCAUCACAAGAUUUAAAACAGACCGUGAGCAUGAUCCAAUCCUCGUCUCGAGAAUACCCUAUCCUUUAGGGGUACAAUCAUCAUAUAGUCCAUAGGUUUCACAUACACUAUGACUCAUAUGUGUCAUUUGUUCUUUUGCUUACUAGCAACUAAAUGCCACUUGUUCAUUUGUUUGCUAUCGACUAGAUGCCACUCGUUCUUUGUUUAACAUUAGACCAACCGUCGAGCCCAUCUCUUUCUCUGCACUAUAGGAUUCACAAGUCUCGACCCAAUCCUUAUCGAUCCACUACUAUGUCAAGUAUCCAAUACAUGCUACGAUAUCAUCAAAGAAAGCAUAAGGAAAGGCAGUGCACAAUCAUCCUAUAAUGCAAUAAUACAAGAUGCAAGAAUCGACAUGUACUAAGACAUAGAAGGGAGCCCGAUUGCUUCGGGAUGGACACCACCCACCUUUUAUAGCGUUCCGAUUGCUCGUCGUCACUCGCAAUCGGCCUCCCGCGGCGCACGCCGCUUGGCUCGACCCAAUCCGCGCGCGCGACCACCAAACGACCUCCGAUCCGCGAUCCGAAAAUUAAAGGUCUUUGGUUUCCUAUUACGAUGCUUCAAAUCCGUUUCCAGGAUUUUACAACGUCGCCUCGGCCCUCCAGGCAGAAACGAAGCCUAAACGUCCGUUUCUUUAAUAACUUUGCACCGGCUAGACGAAUCGCCGAACCGUCGCUUCCAACGCGUUCAGUGACCUAUCAAUUAGGUUUCCAGAGGGUUAAAUGAGAUCAAACCCUCAUAUUUUCAAAAAUUGCAUUUCAAGCCCUAGGUUUAUAACUAGGUAAGAAUUAAUUAAAUUGAUCCUAGAUUCUAGCAAUAAUCAUCUAUUUAGCAUGCUAGAAUAGCUCUAAAUCCAUUCUUGAAGCUUAAAACCCAAACUACAAAGAGAUACCAUUAAAGGGUUUUGAAGCUUACCUUCAAACCAUGCUCCAAUGGAGAGGAAGAAGAUGGAGAAGAUGGAAAUCCACCUUAGAGCUUCAAUCUCCACCAAAAUCAUCUCUUUUUGGGAGAGAUUUAGAGAGAGAAAGGAGAGCUUUCUCCUUUCCCUUCCAUGCGUGUAUGGGUGUGUGUGUGUGUGUCGGUUUGGGGCUGCUACGGCUGAGGAAGAAAGGGAUUUGAUCCCUUUUUACGAGUUAGCCCCUCAACUAUGCAAUCCUUCAAUUUAGUCCCUAAAUCUGAUAAGUUUCGUUGGAGCCCUUCUGGAUGUCCGAUUGAGCUCAAAUUUGACAGGCAUGCUCAGUUUAACGUACUGAGCAAGAAUAUAUCUUAAGUUUUCAGUUUCGACCCCGUUUGGUCACCGAAAACUGUGCCGAACUGCAAUCUUUAUCAGAUAGCCUUCGGAUUUUAUUUCUCACUCUACGGGUGUCAGAAAAAUAUGAAACCUUAAAUCUAGCCUCAUAAAAAUAUUCCUGACUUAUUCUCUAAUUUUCAUAAUUUUCUGAGACUGCAUUUUCUGCUAAUUUUUCUGUCCCGUUUCCAACAGAAAAUUUCAGAUCUUCUGUUUUCAUCCCGAUUUCAGCACAAGUCACUUCUGACUUAUGUUUUACUUCUCUAAAUCCAAUAAAAUAGUAUCUCAUACUAUUUUUAUUUAUUUAUUUAUUUUUUAUUUUUAUAUUUAAAUCCGGUAUGUUACAUUACACCGCAACCUUCCCGGAACCAUUCAAAUGGCUCUCCAACCAAAUGGACACCGUAACCUCAUGAUUUUCGAAGUCCGAUACCCUACAUCCUCCCCUCCUUAAAAAGAGUUUCGUCCUCGAAACGAACUCAAUAUUGCAAAACUUAUUUAGAACUUUAAAUUCUAAACUCAUACCUUGACUUAAUCCUCGAACAAGUGAGCAUGAUUCGCCUUCAUCUCCUCCUCAAGCUCCCAGGUGGCUUCGCGAUCGUCAUGAUUGCUCCACCGAACUCGGACAUAAGGAAUUUUCCGAUUCCUUAACUUGCGCACUUCACGAGCAGUAAUCGCCACCGGAAACUCCUCAUAACUUAGGUCUUCCUGAAGCUCCGGUGGUUCGUAUAACAUUGCAUGCUCGGGAUCAGGUAUGUACUUGCGCAAAUUGGAGACGUGGAACACGUUGUGCACAUCCGCUAGUUUUGGAGGCAACGCGAGCCGAUAAGCCACCAUUCCAAUCCGUUCCAAGAUCUCAUAGGGGCCAAUAUAUCGGGGACUUAAUUUUCCCCGAACUCCAAAUCGCUUAACGCCCCUCAUAGGCGAAACCUUCAAGAAAACGCGGUCGCCCACCGCGAAUUCCAAAUCCCGUCGGCGCCUAUCCGCGUAGCUCUGUUGUCGAGAUUGCGCAGAGAGUAACCGCUUCCGAGCAAGGCGGACCUUUUCUUCCGCCUCCCGCAACACAUCGGGGCCAAAUUCCGUGCGCUCGCCCACGUCACUCCAAUAAAUAGGAGAGCGGCACUUCCGCCCAUAAAGAGCUUCGAACGGUGCCAUCUCCACGCUAGCGUGAUAACUGUUGUUGUAGGCGAAUUCGGCCAUUGGCAAAUACUUACACCAACCUCCUUUGUAAUCGAUGACACACGCUCGCAACAUAUCCUCCAGAGUCUGAAUAGUCCUCUCGAUUUGUCCGUCUGUCUGGGGAUGGAAUGCAGUGCUAAAAUCGAGCCAUGUGCCAAGGGCCUCCUGUAGGCUUUUCCAGAAAUGUGAAGUGAACUUGGGGUCUCUAUCCGACACAAUCGAUUUCGGCACCCCGUGCAACCUCACUACCUCGUCAAGAUAUACCCCACGUGUGACGCUCUAGAUGUGACUGGUGUUUUCAGACUUUAUAGAUAAAUGGGUCUUCCUCAAUUUGUACGCCGUCUCCGCCACCGAUCUCGAUAAUUUCCUAAUGCUACAGCUGUAAGAGAUGGUGGGACCGUUUCGUUUACACCAACGCCUACGCAAAUCGUCCUUCAGCCGCUUCUUGGAGCGAAAACUACAAUGGGCCGUUUGUGGGGAUCCCGACCUCUACCUCGCUGACCUGGAGCUUCACCAGCGAGGGCUCCAGGGCCGAGUCGACUACCGCGAGCAAUAAGUUGGCUGGAAUAACCUCUCCUAGUCUUUAAACGUUGGACGUCUAGGCUCAGAGGUUUUCCACGCCGCGUUGUAGCUCCUUCCUGCUCUACCGNUAAAGUCACACCUGCGGCCACCGCGCGAGGCCAAAGCUUUGGCCACCACGCACGGGCUCUUACUUCUCGAAGCGCUCAACUAGAACGUCCUUCGGGUGGCCAGAGGUAUGCGCCUAGUGGGCCCGCCGUGGUUCUACAUAGUACUCAAUUCUCGUGAGAUAACCACCGGCCCCUACUAUCGACUAUAACCCGCGAAGCACCGCUUCACAAACUGAACAGUCGUUCACUUUCGCCUCGCGGCCAAAGGUCGCCCUUUCGAAGUUUCAGAUGGAUAAGGACAGACCUUUACCCUCCUAUAUAGAUACCUAAAGUAGCAACCGAAUGGAGCGAGCUGUCCCCCUGUGCUGCGUUAGACCCACUAACACCUAGCGAACUGCUUCAGUCGCGUGAAAAAUGGCUAGGUGUGGUGGACCCGCCCUCUAUUCAACCGCGUNGGUAGUGCCUCCACAACUUCAGCGCAAAGAUCACCGCCGCCAACUCCAAGUCAUGGAUGGGGUAGUUCUUCUCGUGGUCCUUCAGCUGACGGGAUGCAUAAGCUAUCACCCUCCCGCCUUGCAUCAGAACACACCCCAAGCCCAGAUAGGAUGCAUCGCUAUAGACCACAAAGUUCUCGCCCUGCACUGGUAAGGCGAGUAUCGGAGCCGACGUCAAUCUUUUCUUCAAUUCGUUGAAGCUUUGAUCACACUCGUCGCUCCAAAUGAACUUGACGCCCUUCUGAGUCAAACCGGUAAGUGGAGUUACAAUUUUCGAAAAGCCCUCCACAAACCGUCGAUAAUAGCCCGCUUAGCCCACAAAGCUUCGGACCUCCGUGACGUUUGUCGGGCGUGGCCAAUUCUCGACCGCUUCGACUUUCCUCGGGUCAACCGAAACACCGCCCUCGAAAAUCACAUGCCCCAAGAAGGCAACCUCUCGAUGCCAGAAAUCGCAUUUCUUUAGCUUUGCGAAUAGCUUCUCCUCCCGAAGGAUUUGAAGCACUAUCCGCAAAUGCUCCGCGUGUUCCUCAUCGUUUCGCGAAUAGAUCAAGAUGUCGUCUAUGAAAACCACGACAAAUCGGUCCAAGCACGUUUUAAACACACGGUUCAUUAGGUCCAUGAACGCUGCCGGGGCAUUUGUGAGCCCGAAAGGCAUAACCGUGUACUCAUAGUGUCCAUAACGUGUACGAAAUGCGGUCUUCUGAAUAUCCUCCGACUUAAUCUUUAACUGAUGGUAGCCGGAUUGUAGAUCUAUCUUCGAGUACACUCGUGACCCCUGUAACUGAUCAAAUAAAUCAUCGAUUCGGGGCAACGGGUACUUAUUCUUUAUCGUGACCCUAUUCAACUCUCGAUAGUCCACGCAGAGUCGAAAUGAGCCAUUCUUCUUGCGCACGAACAACACCGGCGCUCCCCACGGCGAUACGCUCGGCCGGAUAAACCCUUUGUCGAGAAGAUCUUGUAACUGGUCCCUCAAUUCCCUUAACUCUGCCGGCGCCAUACGAUAUGGGGCUUUCGAGAUUGGCGUCGUCUUCCGAAUCAAGUCUAUAACGAACUCGAUCUCCCGAUCCGGCGGCAUCCCCGGUAACUCCGUGGGAAAUACAUCCGGAAAUUCCCGCACCACCGAUAAAUCCUCUAAUUUCGGCACCACCCGGUCCACCUCCACGACGGUUGCCAAAAAUGCUACGCAGCCGCCGUUGACCAACUUCCUAGCUCUCGUCGCCGAUACUGUCGCGACGAAGCAAGAACUCCGACAAGCUCGAUAAACGACCUCCUUCUGUCCUGGCUCCCGAAAGGUGAUCGAUUUAUUCUUACAAUCGAUCGUGGCAUAAUACUUUGAGAGCCAGUCCAUGCCCAAAAUGACGUCAUACGCCUCCAGUUUAGUGAGUUCCAACAUCCGGAUGGGCAUCAUCCAGUCACCUACUUGUACUAGGCAUGACGAGCACUCCGUGUAGGUAUUAAACGACGAUUCAGGACCCUCGACUCGCCACUUGCCACUUGCUUCUAUGGGUAUGUCAUGCAUGCGUGGCACCCGUAUCGAACAUAGCUCUGGAGCGAACUCCAUUGAUUAGAACCAUACCUGCUACAACAUCAGGCUCCUCGGCUUGGGCGGGCCCCUCAGCAUGGGCUUGAGCGGCGAAUACCCGUCCGCUCGGCGCUGAUCGAGUCACCUCCGGCUGGUGCGGCGCCAGUGCGCGUCCCGCCGACACAGGAACAUACGGGGCCCCUCCUUGAUAAGGCGAGGGCGCUGGAGUCGAUGCGACUGACGGAGUAGACGAGGCCCUUGCCGGACAGUCGCGGCUGACGUACCCUUCUUGUCCAUAAUUAAAGCACCGCCCUUGUCGUUGUCUACACUGCGGUGCCCGAUGGCCUCGAUCUCCAUAGAUAGGGCAACGCUGCGGCCCACGGCCCCAUGACUGCGACGGCGGAUACUUCGGGGGCCUCCUUGAACUCGAUUGUCCCCCCGAACUGCCGCCCGAUUGCUUCUUCCCCUUGUCUGGGGAUCCGGUCAACAACUCACGCUCCUCCCGCACAUGGGCAUCUCCAUGCUCUGCCCACAGCGCCUUAUUGAAAACCUCAGCGAAAGUUGUGAGCUGGAACAAUUGCACUGCCCGAUAUAUCCAUGGCCGAAGUCCUCGCAAGAACCAUUCGGCCCGAUCCGCGUCAUCCUUGACCACGUCUGGGACACAGUCUAUAAUGUGGGAGAACUCCUGCUCAUAGUCCGCCACGGAGCGAUCCCCCUGUCUCAAUUUGCGAAACUUUUCCUUUAGCUUCCACUUCUCGGUGUCGGGGAAGUAAUUUCCAAACACUUCCCUCUUCAACUCAUCCUAGAGCAUUGGUGGAAGGUCAGAGGGUCGAUCUCGCUUCAACCGCUUCCACCACACCUUCGCCGCCUUGUCAAGGCAAUGGGUGGCGAAAGGCACUUUAUCCUUCUCCGAGGUGUAUAGGUCCUCGAAGAGGGUCUCCAUAGAGUCAAUCCAAGACUCCACCACCGAUGGCUCCACUUUCCCCCCUUCAAAAGUUGGUGGCUUAAACUUCAUAAACUUCAUUAGAGCCGUCAACGCACGCUCCCGCUCCACUUCGUCGGCCGUCGUAUCAAGUAUCGCCGAACCUGAAGCUGUCGGAGGCGCAUUUGCCGGCGGGGGAACUGCUGCCAUCGGAACUGCCGCUAUGCCCUCACCCUCGGUCGCUACCAGCGCGCGUGCCGAAGGUGCGGGCGGAUCGUGAUCUCCAGCCGCUGUCGCGGCCACCGCUGCUGCCGCUUGCCGCUCCACAAAUCCCUGGAGCUGCUCGAAUCGAGCCUCCUGGCGCUGCAUCGCGCCCAACAUUGCAGCGACCUGCUCCCGCAGCUCCUGCACUUCCUCCGAUCUUGUCUGCUCGGGCUCCGCAGAAGGCGGUACCGGAGCAGACCUAUGCACGUAACGCCUCGGGGACAUUUGCUCCUGAAAAGCAACGACUCGGUUAGUUAUCUUAAUCCGAUAACUUUUUCAACGCUCACGAAAUUAAACGACUCGACAGUGAAAUCGGGCGGAAGCUCACAAGUGUUCCAGUUCUGGACUCUUAGCGUCGCGUCGUCGGCCGCCGACACAACCACGACGAGCCGAGAAACUAGUAUCACUUGGAUCCGUCUCUAUUCACAGCUAGAGACAUGACAUAAGUUCUGGACUCUUAGCGUCGCGUCGUCGGCCGCCGACACAACCACUACGAGCCGAGAAACUAGUAUCACUUGGAUCCGUCUCUAUUCACAGCUAGAGACAUGACAUAAGUUCUGGACUCUUAGCGUCGCGUCGUCGGCCGCCGACACAACCACUACGAGCCGAGAAACUAGUAUCACUUGGAUCCGUCUCUAUUCACAGCUAGAGACAUGACAUCAACUUUGACCCAAUCGAUCAACUUCCGCCAUCGCCAUGAGUUCACGUUCACUCACGUCCCUAUAACCUUAGGGUUUACCGACCUAGUGUCUCCUAGGUCAUCCUAGACUCUCUCUUUACUUGCUCUGGUGCUCUGAUACCACUUUGUGACGCCCCAGCUUCCCAGGGGGUCACCCAUCCUAGGACUACUCCCGUCCUAGCACGCUUAACUCUCUUAACCUCUUGGGCCUUGCCACCACCCAAAAUGCUUAAGCCGGGUUAAAAGUUUAGCCCUAUUAUAUCUUAUAUAUAGGACUACCCGGGGUCUCACACCUCAAGUGAAAAACCCUCUCUUAAUCUUCAAAUGGGAAGUAGAGGUUUUCCAAUCUAACUUAUAUAAAGGUUCUAAACCAUUCCAAUAAGAUCAAGAAGCCUCAAAUUAAGAAUCCCAAAAUCUAACCCUAAAAUCCAAAAUCUAGGGUUUAAACAAGCAAAAUGCCCCAAAACUAAGAUCUAGAGGAAGGAACCUUGCCACUUACCUCUAGGAUGCUCCAAUCCAAGCUCAAAAUCUUCUAGGGUUGAAGAUUGAUCCACCACAAAGUUCCAAAAGCAAGCUCCAAGCCUCCAAAGGUGAGAAAUGAGGAAGAAGAUGGUGCUCCAAAGCCUCCAAGCAAGCUCCUCUCCUCUCCUUCUCCUUCUUCUCCUUCCCUUUCUCUCUCUAGAAGUGUAAGGAGAGUGUGAGGGAGAGAAAAUGAGAGUGAGAGGGGGUAGAGAGGCUGCCAAAAGCCUCUAAGGUAACAAAAUCCACUUAGGCCUCUCAAAAAUCCACUCUGUGCACUGCCCGGUCUGGGCCGCUCACGCGCUGAGGGACCGGUCUCUCCCUGCCAAGGACCGGUCUCUAGGCUCGUCCAGCAAAACCAGCGUUCGGGAACCGGUCUCUCACAGCCAGGGACCGGUUGCCUCAAGCCCUGUCGCAGCACUGUGCUGAGGGGACCGGUCUGUCAUAUCAGGGACCGGUCCCCGAGAGUGAAAACUCUCAGGACUUGCCAAAACUCUAGAGAUCGAACUUUUAGGCCGGUAUACAUCGACGGCCCUCCACCAAGUGUGGAAAAGUUCGAAAUACAUAUCGAACACUCGAACCUCGCAAUUUGCAAAGGUCCAGUGUGCUACAUUCAUCCCUCCUAAAAAGGAGUUUCGUCCGCGAAACUCGAAUACUAACAUACCUCAAAACUCCGUCUGAAAAAGAUGGGGAUAGUGCUCCCGCAGCGCACUCUCUAGCUCCCACGUGGCCUCCCGCUCCCCAUGGUUGCUCCAAAGAACCUUCACGGACGGAAUAUCCCGGUUUCACAGUUUCCGCACCUCGCGGGCCAAAAUCUUCGCUGGGUCGAAGACAUACUUCCGAAGGACCGAUACAUGAAAGACGUUGUGCACGCCGGAUAGGUUCGGUAGUAGAGAAAGUCGAUAUGCUACCGGACCCACACGUUCCAAGAUCUCAUACGGUCCAAUGAAACAGGGGCUCAACUUACCCCGAAUCCCAAAUCUCUUAAUCCCUCUAGUCGGCGAAACUUUCAAGAAAACAUGGUCUCCAACUUGGAACUCCAAGUCUCGCCGUCGUCGAUCGGCGUAGCUCCUCUGUCUACUCUGCGCCGUCAAAAGUCGCUCCCGAGCAAUUCAAACCUUGUUCUCAGCUUCCUGGAGCACGUCGGGGCCUAAUGCGAAUCUCUCACCGACUUCACUCCAAUGAAGUGGCGAUAUACACUUCCGUCCGUAAAGUGCUUCGAAGGGCGCCAUCUUGAUGCUUGCUUGAUAACUAUUGUUAUAAGCAAACUCUGCCAUCGGUAGAUGCUGCAACCAUCCUCCCUGGAAGUCAAUCACACAUGCUUGGAGCAUAUCCUCUAAAGUCUGAAUAGUGCGCUACGACUGUCCAUCACUCUGCGGGUGGAAUGCUGUACUGAAAUCCAGACGAGUGCCUAAGGCGUCCUGCAGACUCCUCCAAAAGCACGACACAAAUCAGGUGUCUCGAUCCGAUACAAUCGAUGUAGGCACUCCAUGAAGUCGCACAAUCUCAUCGAGGUACACUUGUGCGAGCUUCUCCCCAGUCCAAGUUGUAUGAAUAGGUAUGAAGUGUGCCGACUUCGUCAACCUAUCCACGAUCACCCAAAUAGCAUCUUGCACGGCCUGCGAGCGGGGCAAUCCUGUCACGAAAUCCAUGGUGAUCUUCUCCCACUUCCAAACGGGAACAGGCAAACUAUGAAGUUUUCCCGCGGGAACGCGAUGCUCAGCCUUUACUUGUUGGCAAGUUAGACAACGAGCUACAAACUCGCCAACGUCCUUUUUCAUCCUGGGCCACCAAUAAAGCAACUUUAAAUCCUUAUACAUCUUGGUGCCACCCGGAUAUAUAGCGUAGGGCGCUCGGUGCGCUUCUUGAAGAAUAUCCUCUUUAAUUCCCGAAUCCGUCGGUACACAAAUCCGUCCACAGAAAUGCAUCAAUCCUUGAUCAUCCACAAGGAGUCGCCGGUGCAACCAUUAACCAUUUUACCUUUAAUCCUUUGCAACUCUACAUCGGAAGCUUGCUUUUCUUUAAUUUUAUCCAAUAAUGUAGGUUGCACCACCAACGUCAUCAACCUCAAAGGCGUGUCAGGAGUCACCACCUCCAACUCAAACCGCUUCGUCUGCUCGAUCAACUGCGGUGGAGUAACUAAAUGCAUUGCUAAGUUUUCCGUCGAUUUCCUACUUAGCGCAUCUGCCACCACAUUAGCCUUGCCCGGGUGGUAAAGAAUCGUUAGAUCAUAAUCCUUGAGUAGCUCCAACCAUCUGCGCUGUCUCAAGUUCAACUCCUUCUGAGUAAAGAGGUACUUUAAGCUCUUGUGAUCCGUGUACAUUUCACACCGCUCGCCAUAAAGAUAGUGGCGCCAUAGCUUCAAUGCGAACACUACGGCCGCCAACUCCAAAUCAUGCGUCGGGUAGUUCUUUUAAUAUUCCUUUAGUUGGCGAGAAGCAUACGCGAUCACCUUGCCAUCCUGCAUCAAUACACAGCCCAAUCCAUUAAGUAACGCAUCACUAUAUACCAUAUACCCUGCUCAAGCUACUGGUAGGGUUAAGAUCGGGGCGGUCGUCAAUCUCUGCUUCAACUCUUGGAAGCUUCGCUCGCACGCAUUAUUCCAAAUAAACUUGAGUCCUUUAUGCGUGAGCCUCGUGAAGGGAGUGGACAACUUAGCAAAUCCCUCAACAAAUCUCCGGUAGUAACUGGCCAAUCCAAGGAAGCUCCGUAUCUCCGUGACGCUCGUCGAUCUCGGCCAACCCUUGAUAGCUUCAAUCUUCUUGGGAUCCAACGCAAUAUCUAAUCCUGAAAUCAAGUGUCCAAGGAAAGCUACCUCUCGAAGCCAAAAUUCACAUUUCUUCAUCUUGGCGUAAAGCUCCUUUUCCCGAAGUACUUAGAGUACAAUUCUCAAAUGCCCCUCGUGAUCUGCAUCACUUAGAGAGUAGACCAAAAUGUCGUCGAUGAACACCACAACGAACCUGUCUAGAUAAGACUUGAAAACACGGUUCAUUAAAUCCAUAAAAGCUGCCGUGGCAUUAGUCAGCCCAAACGGCAUAACUGUGAACUCAUAGUGUCCAUACCGUGUUCUGAAAGCGUCUUCGAUACAUCCUCGGGUUUGAUCUUCGGUUGGUGGUAUCCAGACUGCAAGUCAAUCUUGGAAUACACACACGAUCCCUGAAGCUGAUCAAACAAGUCGUCAAUUCUCGGCAACGGAUACUUGUUCUUGAUCGUGACUUUGUUGAGUUCACGAUAGUCCACACAUAGGCGAAGUGAUCCGUCCUUUUUCUUGACGGAUAUAACUGGCGCUCCCCACGGCGAGACGCUUGGUCGAAUGAAGCCCUUGUCCAACAGAUCCUGUAGCUGUGCCCUCAGCUCCUUCAGUUCCGCCGGUGCCAUCCUAUAGGGUGCCUUCGAGAUUGGGGUAGUCCCAGGGACAAGAUCCACCACAAAAUCAAUCUCCCUAUCAGGAGGCAUGCCCGGAAGCUCAGCUGGAAACACAUCCUGGAACUCCCGCACCACCGGAAUAUCCUCGAUCCUAGGGGUGUCAUCCUCGCCCCUCAUCACAACACUAGCCAAGUAGGCUACACAUUCUCGGCUGAUCAGCUGCCUAGCUCGAGACGAGCUGAUCGACAUCGCGAAAAGCGAACUCCAGCAUCCUUUAAACACAACCUCAGUCUGCCCCGGUUCUCUAAAGGUAACCGUGCGAUUCUUGCAAUCUAUCGUGGCAUAAUAUUUGCUCAACCAAUCCAUGCCCAAGACCACAUCAAAAUCCCCCAGCUUGCGCAAAGCUAGCAAAUCUACAGACAUGAUCCAAUCUCCUACCCGAAUAGGGCAACUGGGGCAAUACUCUCUAAUAUCCAGAACGUGGUCGGGUACAACAACAUGUCCCGUGUGCAACAAAGGAACCAAUGGAAUGCCAUGCAACUCGGCAAACAGCCGAUCUAUAAAUGAAUGCGAUGUACCGGUAUCAAAUAAAGUACGAACUCUAAUGCCAUCAAGUAAAAUGAUACCUGCAACCACAUCCUCGGCUGCUGCCGCCUCCUCGGUCUGAGCGGCAUACAAGCGUCCACUCGGGGCCUGCCGAAACCCCUCGCUCUGCCGCUGGACGGUUGGCCGCCCAGGCUGGUACUGUGUCGACGGAGUCCCCUGACUGGCGGCUGGUAGAGCCGGUGCCGAUGCAGUCGACGGUGCGGGUGAAGAACCUCUCGGGCACUCAGUCCGCACGUGGCCCUCCUGACCACAUUGGAAGCACCUGCCCGCCCGCUGUGGACACUACGGUGGGUGAUGAGGACCACCACAGAUCACACACGGGGAGGGCCGGCGUCGAUCAUAGCCUCCUCGCUGAGCUGUUGAGCCGCGUCCACGUUGCUGGCUCUUCGGAUGCUUCGGCGACCUCCUAGAGUGCGUCUGGCUCGCACCCUCAGCCGCAGGCCUCUUGGCCUUGCCCUUGUCCAUGGCCUCACGCCGCUCCUGUACCUCUGCCGCGCCGCUCUCCACAAUGGCGCGCGAUCCACCACCUCCCGGUAGGUUUGCAGGUUAGAGGAUUGCACAAACCGGAAGAUCGACGGUCGCAACCCUCGCUCGAAGAUGCGGGCCUUGUCCUCGUCGUCCCGCACGAUGAAAGGCACGCAGUGUAGAAGCCGAGAAAACUCCCUCUCGUACUCGGCUACGGUGCGGUCUCCCUGGCGCAAGCUGUGCAGAUCCUGCUCCAUCUUCCUCUUGACGCUGGUCGGGAAGUAAUGCGCCAAAAUAAGCUCCUUCAACUUCUUCUAUGUGAUAGCUGCUAAAUCAGUGCUUGGGUUCUCCUGGAGAUCCAACCACCAGCGAGUGGUGAGUAGCGAGCCAAACUCGAUCCCUCUCCUCCACGAAGGUGUCGCGGAAGAGCUUCUCCAUAUGUAUCAACCACUUCUCCACGAUCCAGUGGUCGACCUUUUUGCCGUCGAAAACUCGGGGACUACACCUCCUGAACUCAUUGAGGCGCUCCAUCAGUCUGUCUCGCUCUGCCCCCUCGACCAAGGUAGGGAAUGCAGCUCCCACCGGGGGCCUUUAAACAGGUGGUGCCACCAAAACCUCCUCCUUGGGUGCGGCCACAGGUGCCGCACACGAAGAACUGGGCGCGGGGGAUGGCGCUCUCGGUGCAACGUCCACAACGGGUGCUGGCGGUGUAGGGCCCUGCGUCUCCCUAGAAGCUGCUGCCUGUUGCAGGAGUAGAUCCUCCAGGAGCUUCAUCCGCGCCUCCUGUCGGUGCGCCGCCUCAGUCUGCUGUCGGGAUGCCUCCGCCUGCUGAGUGACUAAAUCGGUGAGGGCCGCAAGCUGGCCCCUCAACUCACGGAUCUCGCCAGAUCUGGAUGUAGCGGAGGUCUUGACCUCCUCAAAGUUCGCCACAUUGUCCGCCUCGGCAUAUUGGGAGCGAGUAAUCGGCAUCAUCACUACAAAACAUCAUAAAAGCACAAGUUAGCAAAAACCGAUGCUAUCGCAUCCCCGCUCAAAGAUAAUACCCAAAUCAGGCAAAAAUAAGGAAGUGUGCUUCACUACUAACUCCCGACGUUACGUUGUCGGCCGCCAACGUAACCCUCUGUGAAGUUAGAAGCUAUACACUUCAAUUCAACUCUAACUUUUUAGAGUUAUCAAGAUACCCAAUCAAGGUACUUUCGCUCACAAAUCAAAUAGACCUCGUCUCUCACGAGCCUAUUUCCUAUAGUCCAACCGGCCUAAGGUUUGCUAGGUCCCCUGAGACUCAACCCUAGGCUCUGAUACCAAAUUAAUCUGUCACGCCCCGGGACCCAGCGGAAGCCCGCCCGGCACGUGCCCAGACCCGCCAUACGUCUAAAACAUAUAAGGCGUCUAAAACAACGAUAAUUAAAGCAAGAAUAAAAGAUAUCUAGGAGUAUCAGAGCAUGAUAUAAGACUAAGUUCUACAAUAGAGAAAGGAACAUAAAGCAGGAAUUCACUAAUAAAAGCAUAAGGUAAUACAAAGGAGAUCCCAAAUACAAGUGCUCAAAGUAGUGUAACGCACUGGACCUUUGCAAAUUGCGAGGUUCGAGUGUUUGGAUGUAUUUCGAGCUUGCCCACACUUGGUGGAGGGUUGUAAAAUGUUUUCCGACCUGAAAAGUUCGAAAACUGGAAUUCUGGACAAGUCCUGAGAGUUUUUGCUCUCGGGGACCGGUCCCUGGAAGGAGAGACCGGUCCCCCAGUGAGCAGUGUUGAGGCAGCCUGAGGCAACCGGUCCCUGGCAGGCGAGACCGGUCCCCGAGCGCGUCUUCGCAGUGAGAGACCGGUCCCGCGCAGGGAGAGACCGGUUCCCGAACGCUGGUUUUUCGGGUUCGCAGCGAGAGACCGGUCCCUGCUGGGGAGAGACCGGUCCCUCUGGGCGAAAACUGCCCAGUUCGGGCUGAUGUAAAUUUGAGUUUUUGAGGGGCCUCUCCGGAUUUUGUUACACUAGAUGGGCUUAUUAGCCAUUUCCUCCUCUUCCCUCUCUCAUUCUCUCAUUCUCACCCUCUCCCUACACUUUCUAGAGAGAGAAGAAGAAGAAGAAGGAGGAGAAGAAGAAGAGGAGCUAGCUUGAGGGAGCUUGGAGCUCAACCCCUUUCUCUCUUUUCCACCUUUGCAAGGCUUGGAGCUUGCUUGUAGAGCUUGGUGGUGGACCAAUCUUCAACCCUAGAAGAUUUGGAGCUUGUUUGGAGGCAUCUUGGGAGGUUAGUACUUGGAUUCUACCCUUUGAUCCUUGAUUUGGUAGAUUUUACCAUAUGAAACCCUAGUUUUGGGUAUUAGGGUUGAUUUUUGGGGCUUUUUGAUCUAGGGCUUUUGGGGCUAAAUUGAUUGGUUUAGAACCUUCCUUGGGCUUGGAUUGGAAGGGUUCUAGCUCUCUUUUGGAGCUUUAGAAGAGAUUUCUUCUCUUGAGGUGAAUUUUGGCCCUAUUUGCUUCUAGAUUGAUGUUUGAUCUCAUGGUUGGUCGUAAUACUCUCGUAUCUCUUCGCUGAUCACUUUUAGGGUAUCUUGAGGCUCGUGGACAACUCCGUUCGACGAAUCGAAGGAGCACGCGACGGUUCGGUGGGUUUGGCCUAGCAUACAAUAUGAGAAAUGCUCAUAUUUGGUGUUAAAUGUUUCGUAAAGUUGAAAUUCUUGCAUUUUCAUGUUAAAUGUAUUUAUUAUGAAUUUUAGAAUGCUUAACAUGCAUAGGUUAUGUGUAGUAAAUUUUGGGACCUCUAUAUAGUAGAGAGCAUGCAUGUGUGGCCUAGCAUUCUAGUUGAGACUUGAAAUUAUAAUCCCUAUUAUGAAAACGAACCUUGCUUUCAUGCAUUCAAACUAUAUACCAGAUGUGACAUUAGGGAUUUUUGGAAGCCUAGAGAGGCUUAGGGACUUAGAUGAUAUGUGAGAUUGGGCCAAUGUCAUGAAGAGGCAUUGGGGCCCGGGGCAUAGUGAGCAUUAAUGUUAAUGUCUUAAUUGGAACAUGAUUAGUUGUGGAGCUUAAGUGUCAUAAAGAGGCACUAAGCAAGUGUGUGUUGGGACUUCACAUUAUGACUUUGAACUAGAUCUUCGGGAUGCUAGUGACUAUACCAUGUUAGAGACAUGAGGAUUGGGUACUUGAGACAGUGACCUUGCUUGUUUGCCAUUUGUGCUCAUUCGCACAUGCUUGUGAGGGUCGCUCCCCACAAGCCGGCACUCCGGAGUUGGCCUAUGCGACUUUUGUUCGCUCGUGCGGUAUUGAGACGCCUACGGGGUCGAGUGGGACAGACACAUUCCAUGUGUAGGAAUGUCGGGCUACCACAGGCACUUAGGCGGCACAAGCCGGACUACCUUGGGUAGAUCCUUAAUUGGAAAUGUAAAUCGACACGGUUUGAGAAUGAAUGAUCACUACUAGAUAGGCUUAGUAGUUGGAUUACAUUUACAUGCUUUUAGCAUAGUGUGAGACAUGUAGUAUACUUGGUUGCCAUGAUAGGACUCCUAUAUCAUGUAUUGACAAAGGUUAACAACAUUAAACUAGUGCCAUUGGACUUAAUUGCAAUGAUAGAAUAGAUAUACAUUUUGGUUGACAUCAUGCUUACUUGAGACACAGUAGACUAGCAUUUCAAAUAUGCUUUCUUUCAGCAGUGUAUUUACAUGCUCCUUAUUGCUUAUUAUUAUUAUUAUCGUUGCUUACCCUUAUUUUUAGGGCCUAGUGGAGCAUGAGCUGAGGUCAGUAAUUGCCCACUGGGAACUAUAAAUUAUAGUUCUCACGCCCUCUUUUUCUCGAUGUUUUUCAGAGCCUUCCACUCAGGGUGAGGCCAGGGAUCGCGGGAAGGGAGUUGCUUCGAGCUAGCUUCCUUCGAGAACGAGUUGCUAGGUGGUCUACCUCUCGAUUUUUAUUUCUUUUUGCGAGAGGUUGAGAGUUUUACCAGUGUACUAGAGACCACCACUUUUGUAUUUUGGAGAUAGAUUUUGUACUACUUGUUUUCUUUCAUGUAUUAGUUAUGUUCUAUUACUAUUGGUGUAGAUGUUAUAACUUUACUCGCUCUGAUAUCAUUAGUUGCUAGUUAUUUCACUUCUUUUAUUUGUUCCAUCUCUUGCUUUUACUUCCGCUUUUCUUGUAGACGCCUUAUAUGUGUAGACAUAUGGCGGGUCUGGGCACGCUACUGGGAGGGCCUCCGCCGGUCCCGGGGCGUGACAAGUAGAUACAUAGGUGGUCUCUAUACGUGGAUACAAAAUCUCUCGCUUUCUCUCAACUACAAAAAGAAAGAGUAAACCACAUAGGCAAAGAACCGCUCCUCGCUAGCUAGCUAUGCGAUCCCCUUGCCGCGAUCCCGUGCCUCCGCCGGUGCAGAAGGCUCUGAAAGAAACCACGAAAAAGAGGGCGUGAGAACUCUUAAAAAUAGUUCCCAGUGGGCAAUUACUGACUUCAGUUAAUGCACCACAAGGCCAAAGCUACAAGGGAAGUGGUCAGCGACAAUAAAAACAGUAAAGCGAAAUGUAAGUAAAAGUGUAACUUACUAUAACAUGAAGUCUCUACUUAGCAUGAUUUGCAUAAGUAAUAAAGCAACUAUAUCAUGGAUGUACAUGGAUAGGUAUGACAUGCAUAAUCAUAGAAAUGCAACCAACUCGAUGUCCUCAAUGCAAAAAUAGUAAAGAUGUCAUUGUUUACUAUUCUAAUCCAAGUCCACGUUUCACUUUAAUAGUUUUAAAGUUCAUAUGGCAUACACUGUCACUAUGUUCCAAUCAUAUAAGACCCAUCCGAAGGUUGUUUGGCCUGCGCCGUGCCUAAUGGCCCCGUGGUAGUCAACAUCCCCACUCUAGGAAUGAGCCUCCCCCACGGCAAUCCACUUCGGCGCCCAAUCCCGCACGGGCGAGCAUAUGUCGCGAUGGCUAUCUCCGGAGUGCCGGCUUGUAGGGAGCGACCCUCACAAGCAUAUGCGAAUGAGCACAAAUGGCAAGCAAGCAAUGAUCCGUCUCAAGUCUCAUGUCUAAAACAUGGAAUAUAUCGAAUGUCCCCAUGGUCUAUCUCUAUGUCGUCAUGUCUCUAAUAUGGAAUAUAGCAGAUAUGUGUUGGCCUAUCAAUGUGUCACUAUGUUGUAAUUUCAUAGUUUACUAGUUUCAAGUGCCCCUUAAGGACACUUUGUUCUCUAUGUCAAGCAUGGUAACUAUGUUCCAAGGUUCAUGUUCCAAGUCGUAUUCUUCCUAAGAGAUAUGUUCUCAACUUGCACAAACAAACACUUUAUCAUAUGCAUGCUGCCUACACAUUUAGCUCUACUAUAUAGAGUACAAUUUUUAUGAUACAUAGCACAUGCAUUUUAAGUGUUCUAGAAUUCAUAUAAAUUCUACUUAGUAUAGAAAUGCAUUCAAAAGUACUUUACAACAAGUAUUAAGAGCAUAGGGGCCAUUUUGCCCAAUUUCCACGAAGCCAAACCCACCAAAAUCGUCUUCUUCGUUUCGCCGAACGAAGGUAUCCACAAGCUUCCUAAUACCCUAGAAACAUCAAAAGUAGGGUCACUCGAACGAAACGAAGAGCCAUUGGCUCAAUCAUUAAGCUUCUCAAGCUAGGGUUGGGAAAAACUCAUCUCAAGUGAAAAACCCUCUUAAUCUUCAAAUGGGAGGUAGAGGUUUUCCAAUCUAACCUAUAUAAAGGUUCCAAACCAUUCCAAUGAGAUCAAGAAGCCUCAAAUCAAGAAUCCCCAAAUCUAACCCUAAAAUCCAAAAUCUAGGGUUUAAACAAGCAAAAAGCCCCAAAACUAAGAUCUAGAGGAAGGAACCUUGCCACUUACCUCUAGGAUGCUCCAAUCCAAGCUCAAAAUCUUCUAGGGUUGAAGAUUGAUCCACCACAAAGCUCCAAAAGCAAGCUCCAAGCCUCCAAAGGUGGGAAAUGAGGAAGAAGAUGGUGCUCCAAGGCCUCCAAGCAAGCUCCUCUCCUCUCCUUCUCCUUCUCCUUCUUCUCCUUCCCUUUCUCUCUCUAGAAGUGUAAGGAGAGUGUGAGGGAGAAAAAAUGAGAGUGAGAGGGGGUAGAGAGGCUGCCAAAAGCCUCUAAGGUAACAAAAUCCACUUAGGCCUCUUAAAAAUCCACUCUGUGCACUGCCUGGUCUGGGCCGCUCACGCGCUGAGGGACCGGUCUCUCCCUGCCAAGGACCGGUCUCUCGGCCCGUCCCGCAAAACCAGCGUUCGGGAACCGGUCUCUCACAGCCAGGGACCGGUUGUCUCAAGCCCUGUCGCAGCACUGUGCUGAGGGGACCAGUCUCUCAUAUCAGGGACCGGUCCCCGAGAGUGAAAACUCUCAGGACUUGCCAAAACUCUAGAGAUCGAACUUUUAGGCCGGUAUACAUCGACGGCCCUCCACUAAGUGUGGAAAAGUUCGGAAUACAUAUCGAACACUCGAACCUCGCAAUUUGCAAAGGUCCAGUGUGCUACAGGUAGAUAUUCGUUGUUCAUCGUAUGAGCAUAGCUUAGGAAGGAUCAAUGAAAGAACGUUCGUGAAGUCAUCAGUGCAGCUUCGAACUCUGUCCCAGCGUGCUUCUUCCCCUUCUGCUGCUCCACCUCCUGCUGCUGCUACUUCUUCACGUCCUUCUAUGGACAUUUUCGAGGAAGAUGUCUCAGUUUCCUCUGUGUAUCGUGAGCAACAACGUUUGUCUGAAGAGCUUCAGAAACUAUCUGCGGAACAAGCUGCAAUACGGAAUGAUGUAAGCAAAAUGAAGCGGUUAAUGCAGGCGAUUUUUGACAAGUUAGGAUAUUACCGAGCAGAUUUACCUCCAGGGGAUGAUUCAGAUUAGAUGUUACGGGGUUCCUCCUUUGGUCAUUUUGGCGCUUUCUGACAAAAAGGGGUAGAUGACAUGUGAAUGAUAUGAUGGCUCAUGAUGAUGAUGAUGGCUGAUGAGAUGAUGAUGUCUAAUGAGAUCUGAUGAGGAUACUGUUUUUUUUUUUUUGAUUAGUUGUGUAAAUUUAGGCUAGAUGUUUGUUUAGGUGCUUAACUAUGAACUAUGACUUGUUGUUUUGAUUGCUUUGACGUUUGAUCUUUUAUGAUAAUUGCUUGAAUCUUGAUUGUGUUUUUUUUAAGAAUGUUUUUGCAGGAAUAUUCAAGACUUCAAGAUUCCGGGUCUAAGUCAUAGAGUCUGUAUUAAGGUUGAAAAAUGUAAUUUUUCUUUUAUUGGAUCGAUCGUGCAGGAGAUUGUCGUUUGGUGAUUGCGAUGAUCUUCUUUUUAUUGUUUCUGAGUUGUGUAUGAACUUUGUAGUAUAUUUUGUCACGAAAUCACCAAAGGGGGAGAUUGUUAAGGAUGUUAUAGGUUGGCGGAUUUCGUAAUGUUGAAUGGAGUCUUGAAGAGUUGAUCGCGGAAGUUUGAAGAAAAGAUCCAAAUUGAAGAACAAAGACUCAUUCGGAAAGCUCGGCAUCUAAGGUAUGAAGAAUGGAUGAUUUAUGGUGAAGUUAUUUAAUUAUAAUAAGUUCAGAAGGCUUAGAUUGCUUUAAAAAUUAUUUUACUGAACUUGUAUGUGUUCUGGGACCGGUCCCUGUGUUGAAGAGACCGGUUCCCCUAAGGUUCUCACUGCGUGAACAUUGAUGCAACCGGUCGCCUGAGAUGAGAGACCGGUUCCCGAACAUUGGAAAUUCUGUCGCGCAGCAAGGGAUCGGUCUCUGGCUUGAGAGACCGGUUCUCGAACGUUGUGUUUUUGAUCACGCAGCAAGGGACUGGUUCCUCACUUGAGAGACCGGUCUCUCACAGACCGGUCUCCUCGAGAGGACCGGUCCCUGAGGACGACACAUGUUUUUAAAAAGGACUUUUUGCAAUCCUAGUCUACUUUUAAGUCUUCUAAACAUAUAAAUAAGCCAUGGGGGUCAUCUUAAAGUUUAAGGCUUUGAAUUCUUACUAAUUCUAAACCCUAGAAACUUGUUUUUCCGUUCUGAUGAUUCUACUCACAUAACAAGUUUCGAAAAAUCAACAAUCGACUUGGUUCUUUGAUUUUACUUGAGAUCUUAUUCGAGAAUCAAGUUGAUGUUUGAUUAGAAGACGGACCCUCAUAGCUUAUGGGAUUCUAAAGCUUAAUCACCACAAAUCUUCGAUUCUACAAGCUUCGGAAGGAGAUUCGGCGUGUGGAUCUCGCGUGUAGCCGAGGAUUCGGUGGACGCUUUGAGGAGUUGAGGCAUUGACGCUGCGUAGAGUUUCGGCGAGGUCGAUUGGAGGAUUCCUAUCGAUCGAGGACCGGCGAAGAUCAUCAUCAACAAGAAAUCGGUAAAUUGAGUCGUGUGUUUUUGUCAAAAUCACUUGUACUCAAGCUUUCUUAGUGGAUUUUCUUUGCGUGAUCGGUCCCGUGGGUUUUUCACUCCGGCUUGGAGUUUUUCCACGUUAAAUUCUCGGUGUGCUGUUUUAUUUUUCGCUAUUUCAUUUUAUUUGCAUCGAGAUUUUUGAGUUUGCCGUUUUUACACCUAUUCACCCCCCUCUAGGUGUUACUUAUCUUUUAGAUCCUCGGGAUCCAUAUCUUAUACCGGUCACUCGGGGAGAGACCGGUUCCCGAACGCGUGCGCCCGAGGGGGGCUCUCGGGGACCGGUCCCAAGUUGUGGAGACCGGUCCCUCCGCGCGAAUUCUGCCCAGUAAGGGCUGUGCAAGGAUGGAAAAGUGGAGGGGUUUAAGUGCAAAAUGGCCAUCAUAUGAGGGGUGUAUAUAGGAAAUUACCCUCUCUUUCUCUCAUUCUCAUCCCCUCACUCCCUCUCAUCACUCUCCCUCUCUCUCGCUAGAAAGAGAAGAAGCACAAGAAGAACAAGAAGGAGAUGAAGGAAAAGGAGAAGAAGAAAAGGAAGAAGAAGAAAAGGAAGAAGAAGAAGAAGGAGAAGGAGAUCAAGGAGAAGGCUUUAAACAACUCCCUCUCCCUCUCCUCUUUCCAUUGGUGUAGCUCAAGAGGUAAGCUACAAACCCUAGCUUGUAGAACUUAGGGUUUUGGGUUUUGAGCUUUGGAAAUGGGGUCAAAUGGACCCCUAGCACCAUUGUUGGUGGAUCAAAGCUAAAGUUAGGGUUCCAAAUAACAAAUGGCAAGAUGGGAACCCUAGGGCACCCAAAAUGGGGUUUUUGGUGAAGUAUGAGAUUGAUCUUAUUUGAGACCUCGUAAACCUAAUUGGUAGGUCACAAAACGCUGGGGCGUAGUCGAUUUCGCGAUUCGACUAGUGAAUUGGGAGCUAUCAGCGAAAUACGGCCGAUUUAGCCUUGUCUUGGACCGAGAAGGACGAGAUCUUGUCGUAAGGUGCGCCGAGGAGCGUUUCUAAAGCCUCUACAUCGAUAAAAGGUGGGGGGUGCUAUCCCGAAGCUUUCAAACUCCUUUCUAUGUCUUAGAUUGCAUUUAAUCUCAUUUCUUACAUGUUGCAUUGUAGGAUUGCAUAGUAGCUCCAUUCCUUAUACUUUCUAAUUGAUAACCUAGUGCAUUUGGAAUGCUUGAUAACUUAGAUAGGUGAGGAUUGGGUCGGAAUGUGGAUCCUAUGAUGCGAAAGAAAAUAGAUGAACCCGAUGGAGGUUGGUGACAUAGAAAGUAGUGUUUAAUGUCAAAGAACAAACGAGUGGCAUCCAAAUGUUAAAGAAUAACGAGUGGCAUUAAUGUAGUGUAAAUGACACUAGAGGUUUGAGAACCUAUGGAUAGAUGGAUCCUUUAGAAAAUGCCUUGUGGAUAAAGAACUUAGUAAACCUAAGUACCCUCACAUGGAGAGGUUGUCGAUGAGUUAUUGAGACAUUGACUCUAGUUGUAGAGCAUCCUCACUUGGAGAGGAUUUGAUUGGGUUAUUGACUCUAGUUGUAGAGCAUCCUCACUUGGAGAGGAUUCGAUUGGGUUGUUGACCCAAGUUGUAGGGUAUCCUCACUUGGAGAGGACAGAUCUAGCUCACAGUCUGCUUUUGGGGUGGUAUAGCCAUCCAUAUACCCACAUGGAGGGGAUUGUCGUCGAGUACUCCGGAGUGUUGUGCGACUAGGACCACUUGGAGGUCCGGACCACAUGGAGGUCCGCAGACGGUCCCGGGCUUGGGUGCACUUGGAGCUCCCUCCCCACUUUGGAAUUGAAAGGUGAGUUAUUGGCGAACCCUAGGGCUUCGCUACAGAUUGGGUAAAAGAACAGUGAACAAUGUCAUUGAACAUUAUCAUUCGAACAUAGAUCGAAUUUGUUAGAAUGAUAGUAAACCUUUACUAUAUGAUGCAUGCAUUCAUUACACAUGAUUAUGGGCAUAGUAGCAUAGUUUUCCUACUAUCACAUUUAUGGCAUUUAGAUAUCUAUCUAUCUAUCUAUCUAUUGUUGCUUGUGCCCACUUGGACCUAGUGGGGAGAUCGGCAGAGUCGGCGGCCGAGCCCACUGGGAACUAUGGAAGAUAGUUCUCACCCCACUCUAUUUCCAGUGGUAGGUACAGGGUUGCCGAGAGAGGACCGCGGCAAGGGCAUUGCGGCCGACCAGUGAGACCAUGGUAGUAUAAUAGCUUCCCUUUUUGCAUUAGUACACCUAUGUAUUGAGAGAGAUUCAUUGUAGGUGAGGAUUUGGAGAGCUAUGUAUUUUGGAUGAAAGAUGUAAUCAUUUAAAGAAAAUGAUGUAAAUGAAAAGGAUGAACUAUUGUUAUAGUUAGCAAGGUACUCUCUUUACUUCAUAUGUUAUUCCUGUGGAUUACUUGCUCUCGUAGUUGUUGGCACAAUUUGUGCCCCGUUGAAUGUGUAUGUUUAGAAUUUAAAUUCUUGGGAAAUUCUUGUACACAUUCUUGUUGUGAGCCUUGGGCGGACAGGGGAGGUGCUGUCUGUUCGGCGGACCGCUCGCCGCGCCCGAAUCGUGCCAAAUUGGUAGUGAUCUCGGGGCGGGGCGUGACAUGAGUAGUCUAAUGUUGUUCCGGUUUUUGUUCUUGUGAACAUUGACAUCGAUUCGUUCCAAAUUUACACUCUCGGGGCAUAAUAGAACAAUAUAAUUAGGUUUUACGCUUUAUUAGAUAGAAUGAGAAAAAGUACCCGUUGCAAAGUUAUACUGUUAGGGUGCAACUGAGUAGUCUAAUGUUAUUCUGAUUUUUAUUCUUGUGAACGUUGACAUCGAUUCGUUCCAAAUUUACAAUCUCGGGGCAUAAUAGAACAAUAUAAUUAGGUUUUACUCUUUGUUCGAUAGAAUGCGAAAAAGUACUCGUUGUAAAGAUAUACUGUUAGGGCGCAACUGAGUAUUCUAAUGUUGAUCUGGUUUUGGUUCUUAUGAAUGUAGACAUCAAUUCAUUCCAAAUUUGCACUCUCGGGGCAUAAUAGAACAAUAUAAUUAGGUUUUACACUUUGUUCGAUAGAAUGAGAAAAAGUACUCGUUGUAAAGUUAUACUGUUAGGGCGCAACGAAGUAUUCUAAUGUUGUUCCGGUUUUGGUUCUUGUGAACGUUGACAUCGAUUCACUCAAAAUUUACACUCUCGGGGCAUAAUAGAACAAUAUAAUUAGGUUUUACUUUUUGUUCGAUCGAAUGAGAAAAAGCACUCGUUGUAAAGUUAUACNGUUUUUGUUCUUGUGAGCGUUGACAUCGAUUCGUUCCAAAUUUACACUCUCUAGGCAUAAUAGAACAAUAUAAUUAGGUUUUACGCUUUCUUCAAAAAAAUGAGAAAAAUUACUCGUUGCAAAGUUAUACAGUUAGGGCGCAACUGAGUAGUCUAAUGUUAUUCCGGUUUUUGUUCUUAUGAGCGUUGACAUCGAUUCGUUCCAAAUUUACAAUCUCUGGGCAUAAUAGAACAAUAUAAUUAGAUUUUACGCUUUCUUCGAUAAAAUGAGAAAAAGCACUCGUUGCAAAGUUAUUCUGUUAUGGCGCAACUGAGUUGUUUAAUGUUGUUCCGGUUUUUGUUCUUGUGAGCGUUGAUAUCGAUUCGUUCCAAAUUUACACUCUCUGGGCAUCAUAGAACAAUAUAAUUAGGUUUUACGAUUUUUUUUAUAAAAUGAGAAAAAUUACUCGUUGCAAAGUUAUACUGUUAUGGCGCAACUGAAGUGCCUAAUGUUGUUCCAGUUUUUGUUCUUGUGAGCGUUGACAUCGAUUCGUUCCAAAUUUACACUCUCUAGGCAUAAUAGAACAAUAUAAUUAGGCUUUACGCUUUCUUCGAUAAAAUGAGAAAAAGUACUCGUUGCAAAGUUAUACUGUUAGGGCGCAACAGAUUUGUCUAAUGUUGUUCCGGUUUUUGUUCUUAUGAGCGUUGACAUCGAUUCGUUCCAAAUUUACACUCUCUGGGCAUAAUAGAACAAUGUAAUUGGAUUUCACGCUUUUUUCGAUAAAAUGAGAAAAAGCACUUGUUGCAAAGUUAUUCUGUUAUGGCGCAACUGAGUUGUUUAAUGUUGUUCGGAUUUUUGUUCUUGUGAGCGUUGACAUCGAUUCGUUCUAAAUUUACACUCUCGGGGCAUAAUAGAACAAUAUAAUUAGGUUUUACGCUUUCUUCGAUAAAAUAAGAAAAAGCACUCGUUGCAAAGUUAUACUGUUUGGGCGCAACUGAGUAGUCUAAUGUUAUUCCGAUUUUUGUUCUU
Molecule: long non-coding RNA, 57940 nt
Filed under: Ananas comosus (pineapple)
Lineage: Eukaryota; Viridiplantae; Streptophyta; Magnoliopsida; Poales; Bromeliaceae
Description: long non-coding RNA (ACOM_LNC024337)
Rfam family: Bacterial large subunit ribosomal RNA (bases 24763-25079)
Source: RNAcentral